Molecule: long non-coding RNA, 56799 nt
Filed under: Sorghum bicolor (sorghum)
Lineage: Eukaryota; Viridiplantae; Streptophyta; Magnoliopsida; Poales; Poaceae
Description: long non-coding RNA (SBIC_LNC007691)
Source: RNAcentral
AUUAAGAGCCGCAGGAGUAAUCAUUAAUUAAUCCCAGAACAUAUAGAAGUACAAAAGCAAAGUACAUUAACCGUUCCAAAUUACAAACAGUAUAGUUCCAAAUUGCAAAGAGUACAAGUUUAUUUGUUCUCAGCACACCAGUUCAUAACUUCAUACACACAAAGCUUGGUUUUGUGGCAACCCGAAAUCACCAAUUAUUACAACACUUACAAAUUAAACCCAAACAGAUUGAGCAAACCAGCACAAUGACAACAUGUCCCUCAGCGAACAUUACCAGACGAAAAAUAAUACUCGGUCAUAAAAAACAGGUUAGAAAAACACUGUGAUGGAUAAAUGGAGAGGCCAACUGAGUUGUGUGCUUGACGCAGAGCUUUGUAUCUGAAACCAAACUGAUCACCUGAGGUAGCUUUCAAUGAUAUGUUUCUUGCGUGAUACAAACUCUGGUGGCGCCACAUGCAAGUAGUAGUAACUCUGCUCUGGUAGCUUCAACUGCAACCUGUUCCACCACUCACGCUCUCCGUUGACUCUCACCUUGUACUUUGGAUAUUUCUUCUUCAGGAAUGGGAGAUGGCGAAAGGAUUGGCAACCCCGGACAAAGAGCUUCUCCCACUUUGGCGUUUCAAACUGAAAUUUAACAAGAUCAUGGAUGUGCAGCAGUUGUGGAAGCUCCUGGAGGUAGAUGCUUUUGAUGUUUGGGAGUGGAGAAAGUUGUACCGCAUAAUAAGGUCCACAGUAGAAAAUUGUCUUCAGGUUGGAGCAGAAGAGAAUGACCAGAGUCUCCAACGCAGGUAACGACAUUGAAUAUGGGAAAAGUUUCUCCAAUCGGGGACAGUGCUCAAGGUGAAUGUGUUUUAGUAGCUUCAAAGUGACAGAGUCAUAGCGAGUUCUCCAAUCCCGCACAGGCUCAACAAUGCAUAGUAGGUUCUUAAGGCAGGAGGCCUGCAGUAUCCUUAGGGAUUCUAAUACCUCUGUGACCGGUGGUCUCAUUCUGAAUACAACAGUCAUUUGAUUGCAGUCAAGGAGCAGGCAUUCUUCUAGUGUCAUGAGACUAUUACUGAGGUCAGUAAGGCAACUGACGAAAUUAUCAUCUGUAAUGAAUAUUGAGUUUGUCACAGAAAGAAUAUGCCUUAAGCCAUUCGGGUACUGAUUCACUGCAGAUAUCUCAACAUGACGUUGUUUUGGCUGAAGCUUCAUCAUAGACACAACACUAGCAGGCUUAGAAUACUGGACAUCAUGAUAAGUUGAAUUCUUCUGGAUCAUGGUAGAUAACUCAGCUUCAUUGUUCUGUGGCUUCUUUCCUGUCACAUUGCAUGGUUUAACUUGGACAUUGAAUGACUGUAGAAACUGUCCUUCCUUGACUAACCUUUUAGAAGCAUCUUCAUUGAAGCUAUGGAACCUCUUUCUGCUGAUUUUCAUCUCCACAAGUUUUCUUCUGGUAAAACAUCUGCUGAAUUUGACUAUCAUCGUUUGCACAGUGAUCCAAAUAGAAAACUUUAGGAAACCGGACCAACUGAUGCCAUGGGAAUCUCCUGAAACAUGGGACGCCAACAAGAAGUAACAUUUUGAGUUGUGGUAGGUUUGGGAGGUUGUGAGGGAGCUCCUCAAUGGCUGUUCCAGAAAGAUCAACAUCCUCCAAUGCUCUAACAUCAUCACCAAAGUUCACAGAUUUGAGCUUGCUACACCCAGACAAGGACAGGCACCUAACCCAUGGUCUGGAGAGUGAGAAGGUUCUCAGAUUAGGAUGCCCAAGGAUCUUGAUAUCUUCCAAUGCUUCCCAUGUUUGUAUAUAAAGGUUUUCAAGGAAUGGUAAUAGUUCCCAAAGAAUCUGAAGUGUUAGCCUAAUGCAGUUAGAGAUAUGUAGCUCUUUGAGGCAUUUGGCUUUGGACAGUGAUGAUGGGAGUGACCUUAGGCUAAUGGAGUUACUAAGAUGUAGCACUUCAAGGCUGUUGGCUUCAGACAGGGACAUCGGUAGUGAUAUCAAUACCAUGUUAUUGAUUAGCUUCAGUGUAUGCAGGCUUUGCAUGUUUUGGAACAUGUGAUCUGGAAAAGCUGUAAUCUGAGUCCCCUCGACAUGAAGAACUAAUAGAUUUGACAGUUGAGCCAUGGAAAGAGGUAACUCUCUGAGAUUGGUGCAAUUACCGAAAAUGAGCUCCUCGAGGCUUGACAUUUCGCAGAAGAAUUCAGAAGGCAGGGUGGAAAACUUUGAGCCUGAUAGGUCAAGGUAGUGCAGAUUUCUCUUGUUGCUGCCAUCUUGUUGUAUUAGCUCAAUCAAGGGAACUCCAUUCAUAUCUAAGACUGCAAGGUUCUCGAGAUGAGCAAGUGGUGAUGAUUGUUUUUCAGAAUUAGGUGGUAUUGGAGACAAGAUCUUUAGCUGAGAACAGCCUCUGAGCGAGAGCAAGUAGAGAUUGAGUACAUUGGAAAAUGAAAGAGGAAGUGAAUUUAUAGGGGUGUAGGACAAAUCAAGGACAUGGAGGUGUGGGGUGAGAAGUUUAUCAAGACGAAAUGCUGACAUAUCUGAACAGCCUCUCAGAAUCAGGGUUGUCAUCUUUAUAUCUCCUCUUGUUUCCCUCGGCCAACAAUUCCAGCUUACAUGCCUACCAUCAUCAUUCAAAAAUGAGACCCAUCUUGGUUGCUCUUCUUCACAUGAGUAUUGAGUUCAUCUUGUCUGAGACGUGGGACAGUGCCAGCUAACUUUGACACACCAGUGUUGACAUCUAUUGGGGAUGAAUUGCUUACUGUUGAGGUGGAAACUGAGUAUAUUGGAAGUAAUGAAUAUUCAUGCAAGGCUUCAAUCACGACUUUCCCAGCUUCAUAUGCAGACCUGUAGUAGUUGCUUUGUUCCUUGACAGUGGCUUCUUGUGUAUUGGUGGAGACUGUUGUUGAGAAAAGCAGGUCCUCAGCUACCCAACAGCGAACUAGUUCAUCAGAAGUAAUAGAGGAGGCGUUGCUUGCCUUGCUUCCAUCAUCUUCUUGCAGUUUAUGGUAGAGGAUACCAUAGUACAGGCAUUGCUGAGCUACGUGGAGCCAAAACUUGACAGGGUAUCCUUUGUCCUCGAGUGUGCUAUAAAUGGAUCUGGCUGCAUCCAGUAAGGCCUCUUUAAUCAACACAGCCCAGUCUCUCUCACGGAGAUCACUAAAAGAUGGUGCAUAGUAAUAUUCCGGAGUUAAAUGAUAGACCCAGAAAUCAUAUCCUUUAUCACCUCUGCUUUUUUCACAGACAUCUUUGGAAGUGGUUGAGAUGAGCCACCGCCGGUUAUUCAAUACAGAGGGCCGCCGGUCGCCCAUGGUGGAAACCAACACAUCCAAUGAGACGGGAACAUGCAGGUUUUCCACGAGCAACAGAUGCCGCUUCCCUUCCAACGCUUCUCUGAUCCUUUCUACUAUUGGAGAAAGUACAGGUUGGAGCUCAAAGAUAGGGUCACUCCGUAUGGAAUAAUCUAACCCAAUCCACAAAAUGGAGUUCUGUCCAAAAGCCUGGAGCAUCAGGUAGUCAGAGAGUUUGCUGUAGCCAAAGUAGCUCUCUUCCGCAGCGAUCUGCUUGACGUCUUCUGGCAGCGAUGUCUCCAGCAGGGUUCUUGCCAAUUCUGUGAGCACAUCAAACGCCAACCGAUACUCCUGGUCUCUGCUAGUGCUCCUUGCUGCCGAGGCGCAUGGCGGUGGGAGCCUCACGCGUGUAAUGUUGUCAUACGGACCAUAGAUGUCCUUGGUGCGCUCGAACAAGAGCCUGGUAAGAGUGGGCAAAAAGGAAGCUGCAGGUCCAAUUCCAGUGUUCCAUAUCAUCGGGUGCUCCUUGCUCCACUCCACCACCCUGUCUUGCAACGCUGGUAAUCGUAUCCAGUCAAUAGUAAGGUCGAGCCUCUCGGAGAAUGCCGAACCACCCCUGCUUUUAAUAGGCUUGGUCAGUGCUCCCUCAACAUUAGCAUGUACAUAGAAAUGUGAUAAUUCUUUUAGAAGCUCUUGAGUCCGAUGAUUAAAUCAACACAUAACUUUUAGUGUUUAGUACUUCUAUUUUAUUUCUCAAAAAGAUGUUCAUCUUGCGAUGUUUACCAACAGCAAAAUUGGAUAUUAGUCAGUGCAUUCAUACUGAACAACGUUCUUUAUUUCUGCUCAUUUGGACUUGAUGCCCAACACGCACAGGUGUUGUUAGAAAUUAGCAAAAUCAUGUGCUCCUAUGAACUAGGACAGACAUCGUUUUGCUAACUAACCAAUAAUACUGGUCAUUAGGGUAGUAGGCAUAACAAUAUGCACUAGAUGACACUACCGGUGCAUAGGAUCGAUCGCAAUUGGCACACAACAUAUUGGAGGAGUACCUGGCAUAAUCACCAUGACCUUUAAGUAUUUACUUGACUAUUCUAUCAACCGGUGGUAUAUCACGGGUCAGAAUCAUAUUGGUUUGUACAUUCAACUAAUAAAACUAUUUAUAUUAAGUUGUAUGUGUUUUCUCUUUCCUCAUUUUGUGACACAAUAAGCAUGAUGGAUACUGUGUAGUUUCUAUCUAGUUCUGAAACACUACCGAUUACUAAUUUUUGUCAUUCAUAUCAAUAGUUUUUCUCGGUGCAUGGCACCUAUGUGUAUCUUCAACAUGCAUUAAUUGAAAACAUAGCUUAUAGUAUGCUGGCUCUUGUUCUAGCACAUCUUAUUUUGGGGGAAGGCGCCCCCAGAAGGACACCCCGCCUGGCACUCGGCCUCCCUUGGGUCCAUAUUAACGCUUCGCUUGCGUGUGAUGACACCAUCGCGCUGAGGGUUCUAUUCUGCUCCCUCCUUUCAGGUACCUACGGUGGAGACUAAGUCAAGGUAACAGAUGAUGAGGAUUUGAGGAUGGCAGAAGAAUAUAUAGAUGCACUGGCGGGAAGUAGAGCUUCCCUCAAUGCUGGCGACAGCAACGUUAGGGCUCGAAGUAGUUGGCUAGAACAUGGAGGAUUACCUCCGUGCCCUCAGGUAGUGUAUUAACAUUGUAAACCAUUGAGCAACCCUUAUGUAAUUUCACAAGUGCCCCUAGUUAUGGCCUACAAAUACCCAGAGGCGUUGUUGUUCAGGUAGAGUUUUUUGGCAAUCUAAUGGCUAUUUAAUCUGCAUUUAUUUUCCACAUUCUCCGUUGGGAUACCCUUGGUUUACAGUUCUCCAAAUCACAGUAGGAAACCCUCGGCCUCCCCUUGCCUAGCCACUAGCGAGGGUGGGAGGCUAGGAGUGACCCACAGUUGGCGACCUGCGUGGGGACCCCAUUGUACCACUUCACCUAACAAUGACAGCUACUAGAAGGACCAACCCUAGGAACCCACCACUCCCCGUGUGGGACCGCUACACUGGCAGGAACCUCCAUCGAUGGGGCUAGAGGGCUCUUGGUGACCUGACCUUCUGUGUAGCUAUCGGAGGUCACGAUGGAGCCAGGCAAGGCACUCACAGCUGGGGCUGAGACUAACCCCGACCCCAAACCCAACCCGACUCAUAGGGAGACGACGGUUCAGGAAAUAUACCGCAGGAUGACGAUGUGGAGGCUGAGGAAAGAGGCCUUAGUGCCCUGAAUCAAAUGCAUGAAGAACUCUAGUAGAAAAAACAUCACGUCGAAGCUCUCGCGAAGCAGGCGCGCCUGAGGGUCUCCAGGCAGAAAGAAAAUAAGGCUAGAGAACAACUCAGGAUGAUGGAUAAAUACCUCGCCGCUGCCGCCGAAGCCAACCCCAAUUACCUAACUGAUCAGGGACUGUACCAGCCACCAUAGCCGGACCAACAUGGUCCGACGCUGGUCAACAACCCAUCACAAUCACCUUUGCCCUAACCAAACCUUCGCUUCCACCAACUUCACCCAAAAGUUAUUUACCCAAGAAACUCACCUCAAGCACAAAGAAACCAACCCCUGCCAAUGACCUACGACCCAAGGUCACCACUAACCCAAACGGUGCAAACGAAGAGCUAGCCACCAGCAUACAACCCUGAAAACUUACCAAAAUAUGAUGAAAGUGUUGACCCUUGCCAGUUUAUCAUGAGUUAUGAAGCCGCUGUGGCAGCAGCAGGAGGAGAGGAAAAGUUUUUCGUCAUCAUACAGAACAUUGCUCAAAGCUAGCAUAGCAACCUCCAUUCUCUCUCCUUGCUAAUAUUGAUCUCUUCUCUAUCUCUAUCUCUCACUCUACCCCUGUAAAAUACUAGAUAGAAAUAUUCGAUAUCCACACCUGUUCUACAGAUAUGAUCUUAGCUAGGUCCAUACCAACGUACGCAUCAGAUCAUCCCUCAUCCAUUCUCUCUCCUUACUCAGCCAAAUCCAACGCUCAUUGUUCAUAUCCAGUCCCCAUGCCCACGCCCUCUCUCCAAGAUCAUUAGCGCCGUUACAGCGCCCAGAAUUGGAGCACCUCACGCAGCUACCAUCUCUCGUGAAUGCGCUGCCGCCUCUGUACAUCUGCUUUCCUCUCUCUUCUCCAAGAUCAUUACGGUGGUUAAGUUCAUUAGCUUCUUUCUGGUGUUGCUGUAUUCUUGUAAGAAGCUUAUGUGUGUAUAUUAGCUUCCUUUUCUUUUCCGAUAGGCUAAGAAUGGCAGUAAUCUAUUUUACUUUCAUCGUAGAUAUAGGGACCGUGGUGGAUUCACAGGUUGGUCAAGAUAUGCCUGUGUACCUAUGCUGCCAUUCAGGAUGGUGUCCCUACCUAAUUGCUGGAUUCCAUUUAUUUUUGUUUACUACACUAUAUGAUGAAAUUGUCUAAUUCAUGAUCUAGAGUCUUUGCCGGGAGCAAAUAGUACCUGUCAUUAUCAUUUUCCGUGGGAUGUGAAAAAAUUGCUGCUGGUAGAGGUUAAAAAAUUCAAGCAAAGCAAAUUUUGUUUGCAUGCUGCUGGCAACUUUCAGCAGCGUGUGUGUAUAUAUAUAUAUAUAUAUAUAUAUAUAUAUAUAUAUAUAUAUAUAUAUAUAUAUAUAUAUGAAAUUCCUUUCUACACGUAUGUGUAGUUACUCUCAUCUUCAAUAAACUACAUUGUGUAUGUAUUCAUACUUGUUUAUCGGUUUGAGUAUGUUUAUAUACUCAUAUUAAGAUACUCUAGAUCUUACCACGCGAAUUUUUUUCAAAAAAAAUUAUAUUUUAAAUAUAUUACUAAAAUGCCACUACUAUAUUAUAUACAAUAAGUAUAACCAUAUACUCUAUGUAUGCAUGCAUACUUAACAUAUAUAUCACUCUAGAUGGUCUAGUAUGAUCAUAUACUUUGUCUAUAUACAUUUCGUUCGGUCAUAUACACCUUAAAUCUAGAGAUAUAUAGAUGAGAGUAACUACACGCGCGUGUAAAAAAAACGCGUAUAGUGGCAAAUCUUAUAGAUAUGACAUCUAUAAUGACAUACAUGUAAUCUAACUUAAGGUAGCCUUUAUGUGAUCUCAAUGUUCGGACCAAGGUUAUUUCAUAAUUCUCAUUGACUUUUUGUCCUACCAGUGACUUCGAGUAAAUAUAUAUAACAGUAUUCUUUUUUUUUCACAUGGAUUCAUUCAGAUUUUUUAAAUGAAGUCAAAAUUCCACAAUGUUCAAAAAGUUUCCGCCAGAAUUUUGUCAAUUUUUCAGUUUCUCGUUUCUACCGGUCAGUUUGUGUCAUGGCGGUAGGCUGAACCUGGGUUGAUGUUUCGAGGAGGAAUCCGUCCAAGCAUUAUAUCAUUUGUUUCACACAGUCUGAGAAAAUAUAAAUGCAGCGGCAAGAACAAUGAGUGUGAUCACGUACCAGCCAUAUCCAGGGAAAUUGAUGAGACGGUCGACCAAUAUAAAGGCAUCUUCAUUUUGUAUCCCUAUAAUCCUGGGCUUCAUUAUUUCCUCCAUCUUUACUUUGUUUCUCUAAAAAAGUGCAUUCAACGAUUAACAAGAUCAUGAAUAAUAUUCGAGUAUGCUUGGAAGUUGCAAAAAAAAACAUUAUCUAAUAAAUAUAUUGCAUACACAUCUGUAUAUAAAAAUUAUACAGAUAAAAUGCUAGUGCUACACAUAUGUUCCACUUAGAACGUUUUCCCAUAGCUGCGGCAUGGUUUGAAAUCGCUUUGUUUACCCUAAUUGAAAAUAAGUUACAUUUUGGACAUUGACAUCAUCUUGACAUGUAACUUUUUUUACUACUCCUGAUAAAACUAAAUUGCGAGACUAAUUCAAUUGUUACAAUUUUCAAAUAUCAAAAGGCAGCACAUCAAGUAAUAUGAAUCUAAUUUCUAAAAUUGCUGACUCACGACAACCAAAACUGUAAUAUCCGAUUUUAAGGAGAAAAUCAUAUAUAUGCUAUAUGUGAGUUUUAGAAGUCAAAUAUCACAUAUAGCUACAAAUAAGAGACAAUAUCGACAGACAAUGCAUAAAUUAUAUAACAUACUUAGUAAAUCAGAGAUCACCUUAGGCAGCAACAAUGAAAGAUAACUCCAAACUUCGGGUAUUAACUUCAGAUCCAAACUGACUGGUUGAUCACAAGUCUAAUACUCCUCCUGCGAGGAAAUAGCAAGAGUGAGUCCAUGUCGAACUCCACAAAUAUAGCAACAAGGUUGUAUACAUCCCAAAAACUCAUGAUCAAAGUGACAUAAAUAAUGUAGAGCAUAAAAAACAAUGAGCAUGUUAACAUAACAAGAAUCAUCAUCCUUCAUGUAAAUGUCCCGAAGAACGCUCAUGUCCAUGAGCAUGGCUAGUAUACUAGUUUAUUAAACACUUUGCAGAGGUUGUACAUCUUUACUCAUGAGUCAUGAUUUACCCUUUCGCCCGAGGCCCUUUAACCUCUUAGCUCACUACCAAGGAAAGCCGGCAGGGUUCACUAUGAAGCCUUUCAAAGGUUCGUCUAACAAGUUAGGGCCAUUAGAUUCACUCGGCAGGCAGAUAUAGAGCCCUCCUUCCAUGGCACGUAACACGUAGCCUAUACACAAGGACAGAGGCCGCACUAUACCCAACAUGUCUAGCCAUUCUUACGCCAUUUAAAGUAACCGCUAACAAGCUAGAAAAGAUCCUCAUACGAAGCUAAAGCCAGAGCCAUACAACCCUCAUGGUUGUACUGUCAAUCCUGGGUGAUCACGUACACAUAAAAUCCUCAAGUUCCUAAAAGGUCACUUUUAUCGUUUGUUGCUUAAACAUUAAUAAGUCACAAGAUCAUGGUCACAAAAAGAAAACCCAAAUGCCAUAUUUGCAUUGAUCAAAUUGCUCUUGCUGACCUACUGUUCAUCAUGGUAUAAGUCUUGAUCACCGAAAUACUGCUCACCAUCUAUAAUCGAUCACCAAACAUCAACACACAAACAAACCAGAGCCAAACAUACAUGAAGCAAACAAAGCUAUGAUUACAACGGUACACCAAUAGUAAUAAACCAAGGUGAAAAGAUUAUAAAAUUAUUCUACGCAUCCCUACUAUUACAUAGACGUAAAGAUCAUGAAAAUCAGAACUAAAAUAGAGAAGAUAUGAAUUUUCUAAGAUUUAAAGAUUAUGAAAAUCAGAACUAAAACAGAGAAGAUAUGAAUUUUCUAAGAUUUUCUUUAAAAAGUAAUUAAUUCAAUAGGGUCACAAAAUUAAAAAGUUUCAAACUGGUUGAACAGUGAUACUAACACAUAGUUUAUGUGAAAAUGAACCUAGUUGAAUGGGUCAAAUCAGAGUUAAAAUGAGCAUUUUAUGACCAAAAGAAUCUUAGUGGCAAUUCUGUAAUUUUGUGAAAGCGUAUUUUGAAAUCAAACCGGGAUGGAAUAUGUUUUCAAACUCAGUUAGCGUAUUCUAGAAAAGCACUAAGGACGGUGGGUUUGAUUAUAAAAGAGUGCAGGGUCUUUUUUACAAAAACAUCGACCGAAGAGGUAACUUCUAAUCUCGUUCAUUGGUUUGAGAUCCGACAGAUGGGGCGGUUUGGGGAGAGUUUUGGCUGCCGUAAUAGUGCCCCUGGCGGCGGCACCAUUGCCGGAGAGGAAAGGAGCUCACCGGAAAUGGUGAUUUCGGCCCUAGAGGCCACGACUCAACACGGGAAGGACACAGGGAGAAAGAGAAGACUAAGGCAAAGUCACCGAGGGUAUUAACAUUGGCUCGGAGCAAGCAGAGAAGUCCUGGUUAUUGAUGGAGCAGCUCGGUGCCUUCCUGUGAACCAUGGCCAUGACACAUGAGCAAUAAGAUGAAAAAUAGAGAGGUGGAAUGCACCAUGAGCUUUGUCACCUCGACGUGGUGCUCGGCAACAAAGAACCAGUGGUGACAAAGAUCAUGGCAAGAUCCGAACGACAACUAGGGCGGAGCUAGGGCAAGAAAAUGGCGCAUAGAUGAAACGAAGGACGGGGGUCACGGAGCUUUAAAUGGCGGCCGGGCUUGCUCCCAUGCGAUGAAUCCUGCAAAAAUGGGGAUCAGGCGGAUUUGAUGCCCAGAUAGAGUCCUGCUCCCACACGGCGUGAGGUAGGAGAAGGGGGUGUGGCUGAUUAGUGGGCCUGGCUGGUCAAUGAGAGAGGAAAGGAGGAGGGAGGUUUGCGCAGCUUGUGCCGAGAACGGGCCGUGGGUGGCCUGCUGUUGCGCGUGUGGCUCCCUGCUGGGCCGCCAGCUGAGCUGAUUUGUUCUGUUCGCGCGCGGGGCCGACUGAGGGGAAAGACUUCUAGGCCGACGCCGCGCGCUGGGCCGAACUCCCGGGAGGAACAGUUGGGCCACUCAGGCCAAAAACCAGAGAGAGCAAGGUUUUCUUUUUUUUAUUUCCAAAGCAAUUUUCAAAUCUACUUUUAAAAUUAGUUUGAAAACAUUUUCAAUUUUUAGUCAAAACCACUCAUCUCAAAAAUACAAAUGCACCAGCAUGAAUGCACACAAAUGUUGCUAAACUUUAGGGUAAAUUUUAAUUUAAUAAAAAAUAUUAUUUUCCCUAUAUUUUAUGAGCACAAAAAUACAUAAUUAAAUCAAAUUAUCUCUAUUUUCAAAGAAGAACUUUAGGGUGUUACAAAAAGGUUACGUAUAUGUACUUGAGGGAGUAACAUAUCUUGUAUAAAAAUUUCAUCUGUCCUGAAAUGUUUUCUGAAUCAUAAAAUUUUUUGUUUCUUUAUAGAUCUAAUUAUCUUUUGUGGUUAAAUAAAUUGAGAUAACAGAUAUCUCGAUCUGUUCUUUGAUGAAACAUCUAAGAUAUGUUUGCAGAGGUCAGAAAAAGGCUAGAGAAAAAGCAUGGUUUAGAAAAAUAUAAAAUUUGGAAGUACAUACCCAUCUCACAAAAAGGUCCUGUCUACAAGGGUUCGGUUUUAAAGGUAGAGAAGAAUGACUUAGGUCCUGUUUGGAUCAUAUGAGAUAACAGCUAGUUGCUAAAGUUUAGCUCUUGAAGAUCCAAACAGGAGGGCUAAUGGGUGGACUAAAUUCUAGCCAAAGUCUCAAUAAGUUGUUAGUUCACUAGUCCUUCAAAGCCAACUAAUAGGGUCUAAAAGUGCUACAAGUAUCAAAAAGUUACCUCUAUAUUAUAUUCUCUCUCCUUUCUCUCCCUAUGUUACACCAAGAUCCAAAUAGGUAAAUAUAAUUUUUAGCUAGCUAUUUUUGAGCCAUGACUAAUAAAGGUCCUAGUCUAUCUAAAUAGGACCUUAUAACAUAGCAUCUCAAACAUAGACCCAAAAUAGGAUAGUGCUCUACUUGUUAGGGUCCCAAAAAAUAGUUCAUUAGUCUCAAUUCGAGUCUCUAAUUUUUCUUUAUGGCUGUCCAGAUCUUUCACUGCCCCUUUUGCUAGGAUUGUGUUGAGCUUGCUACUAUACAAGUUUUUCCAGGUGAAAUUUUUUCCCGCGCUGUAUUUUCCAUUUCUUGUGUUGUUCACUAAUAGAGAACAAACUUUUGGUUCAGCACAUUACUCUCGGUUCGAAUUGGGCCCGGGACUAAUGUGAGCAUUAUUUCUACUGGUUACAAGUUUCUUAGGCAUCAGAGGACCUUUAGUCCCAGUUGGUGUUACAAACUGGGCUAAAGAGCCUUGGCCCUUUAGUCUCAGUUAAUAACAUCAACCCAAACUAAUGUAGACCCUUUAGUCCCGGUUGGUGUUACCAACCUAGACUAAAAAAUCCUUUAAUCCCAGUUAUUGUUACCAACCUGGACAAAAGAUCCUCUAAUGGGUUAGUUCAAAAUAGAAGCAUCCCAUCUAGAGUCACAUGUGCUGCGUAUGUGGGUUGGAAAGAUACGCACGAAGUAGUGCAUGUGGAGUUCAAAUCCCACGAGGCGCAAGGGUGUGAGGCAUUAUUUUUUAAGUCUCCACGGACCUUUAGUCUGGAUUUGGGUUUAAAGCAAUUGGGACUAAAGGCCCUUGCCAAACCGAUAUUGAAGCCAUGUUUCCUACUAGUCGUUCCUUCUUAUGCCGCUGUGGGGGUAUAAAACCCUAUACCCUUACGGACUUGGGCCAGGAGAUUUGGCCCAUCACGAGACAGUUCGAGGCUUUGAUCCAACUGCUCGGAGUUUCGCGCAAGGAAACAAGACAUGGAGAUCAAACAAGAUUCUCGUCGGUUAGAAUAGGAAUUGAUAUCGUAUUAUCUAUGGCAAUUGUAACCGACUAGGAUUAGUUUCCAAAUCUGUAACCCUGCCCUUUGGACUAUAUAAAGAGAGGCAAGAGACCCCCUUAGACAAUUCAAUUCAACACACAGCAAUAUAGUCAGACGCAGGACGUAGGUAUUAUGCCCACAUGGCGGCCGAACCUGGAUAAAAUCCUUGUCUAUGUCUUGCGUCACCAUCGAAUUCGUAGCUUGCGCACCUGUCUGCCGAUAAACUACUACCGUGGGUAUACCCCAAGGCAGACUACCGACUAGCUUUCAUCGACAGUGGCGCGCCAGGUAGGGGGUGUGCGUACAGUUCUCUAGACGAACAAGAUGGUCAUCGUCCCCGCUUCCGCUGCAGUGGCCGAAGGCCUCACGUUCACCGUCGACUAGAUCACCUGGACAACUCACGCUGGUGGCCCUACGACCAUGACUCUAGAAGAGAAUCAGAUCCAAUCUGAAAUGGCGGAAGUGGUGGUCCAGAUCACGCCGACCACGAUCACUACGACUCCGACAACUCGACUUCUGCUUCCUCGCUACAAGGGAAAACGACGACAAUUCCGAUCUACUUGAAGCCAUCGAUCGCGCCAACCACAGACUUCUUGAAGUCUCCGAUCUGAUGGAUUCAAUUUCAGACCAGAGCACUCGAGCACCGACACCGAAUUUUUUCGACUCCCGUUGACCAACUCGUGCCACCACGCACGAACGGCUAGGGACGUUUUUGAUGAUAACAGCCACUCCCGAAAGACGAACUGUUCAGUUCAAGACAACCUCUCCAAACGGGAGUCUUCCUCAUGGUCUGAGUAACGCGGCCGACCAGGUCUCACGCCAUACUCAGUCCCUAUUCAGAAAGAUGGACCUGUCAUCACGACAACCCAUGCACCCAGCACGCCACUUCGUCAAUAUGGUUUCUGUCCGUACUUUGCCAGAAGACAACACCGCAAGCACAAACUCAAGUACAGGCUCUGUCCCUACCGAGGUUUUACGCCACGAGGAUGAAGUUCACGACUUGGAUCUCCUGCCUUACCCUCCGGCCGCUUCCCGGUUUUUCCACCUCGACGAGGAGAUUUGGUUUUCAAUAUCAGCAACGACGAACCAGUCAUCGACGAAGAAAAUGAUGAGCAAAGGCAGCAGCGCGAGCAGCGCAAUGCUGAUCGUGCUCAACGACGAGCAGAUGAAGAACUGCGGCAGCUGGUCCCAAAUAACCUUGACGACGCUUUCGACAUGGUGGGGAACCAGCAAGUGUUCAAGACACCAAGCGCUAACGUGGCUGUCGCCAUGGCAAACCUCAACCGACUCCCAGACACCCCAGAAUACUAGGGUGUUCGGACUAACAUACGGGCACACUUAAUUGCUGCAAUGGGACAGACUGCAGAUCUCCUUAGAAGAGUUCAAGCCAUCUCCUACACGACCUGGCGGGCAUCACUGCAGCAGUUCGCUCAUCGAUGACCGCAGGAAGGAAGCUCAUCGCGACGACCGUGGUCGGGACGCUGGCCGCAACCGCGAGCAAAGACGCGGACACGACCAGGAGGUAGACCAGGGAAGAAACCGUGAUCUACGACAUAACCUCUAUCACAAGGACGCCCGAGAGCGCAUCAACAGACGCAUCAAUGAUAAAGCGGCACACGAAAACGUGCGCCGCAUUGAGUACGAUGCAGCUCACGGUCCUCCUGGCCUAAAACAGUUCUCCUUGCAUCUCCUGCAAGUCGUCUGGCCGCACAAUUUCAAGCUCGAGAAGCUCAAAAAAUAUGACGGCAAGGAAAACCCCGAGAACUGGAUUACCCUUUAUGAGAUCACGGUCCGGUCAGCAACAGGGGACGAGCAUGUCAUGGCAAAUUAUUUCCCGGUCGUCCUCGACCAAGCUGGUCACCAAUGGCUCCUCGGCUUGCCUGAAAACUCAUUCGACUCAUGAGAAGAACUGCGGCAGACAUUCAUCGACAACUUCAUCGCCACCUGCGAGUAGCCGGGAAACAAGUACUAUCUCGAGAGGAUAAGGGACCGAAAAAACGAGCCCUUGCGCGAUUACAUCCGAUGCUUCUCGGAUAUGCGCCUCACUCCUUCCCAUCAUGCCACUGCCUCCAGCCAUCCAUCUUUGCCUCUAUCUAAAAACUGUGGUACCCAACCUGGUUCAGAACCUAAUAGUCUAAAGGCACUCAAGAGGGAGGGCAAAUACACUCAUCCAUUAUAGUUUUGUUGUAAUUUAUUACAAUGUGGUGUGAUAGACAAUUCUAUGUACCUAUACGAGUUUAAUAUUUCAACAAAUUGAAAUUGAAAUUUAUGUUUUUACUAUUUAAAAUCAUGAAUUUGGCUACUAUUCCUUUGUAAGUUUGAGAUCACAUUUAAAUAUAAGAGAAUGAAAUAGGGGUUCAGGUCAGUGGCGAAGCUAGAGCAAAUAAAAGGAUGGUGCAUUUCUCUUAUAAAAACAUAAACUCUAGCUAUAGUUAUAGUGAAAAAUUGAUUUACUUAAUGGUGUUUAAUUUUUUUUGUGGGUGCAUGUGCACCCACUGCCUUGUACGUGGCUUCGCCACUGGUUCAGGUGUCGGAGCCCUUACUAUUGUUGGUCCUAAAAAUAGAGUCCAGAAAGUAGAGGGAAUAUGUACUGAGAAACUUGGGGCCCUAUUUUAGAGGCCAAUGCUGAAGCCAAAUAUAAAUUAUCAUAGAGGGAAUCUCCACCAUUACAAAAAGAUAACAUAGAGUAAACCCUAGCUUUGCAUUUAAAUUAUGUUGCAAUAAUCUAAUAAUCCAAUAAAUCUAGAUCUAAAUCAUUCAUAUCUGCUAUUUUUAAUAGUAUAACUUAAAGUAGCCCAUGAUUUGUAUACUAUUAAGUUAUAAAUUAUGUAUUUAUAUUUUUCCAAAAAUCAUUCUUUAAAGUCAACAAUUACUGAUAAAUCAUCAAUAAUGGGUAAUUCAAAGUUUUCCAUGCUUAUUAUAAGUCAAAAUUAUUUGCAUAUGCCGUUGGAGGACAGCCGGCAAUACUAACAUUCAGCUCUAUGCCCCUAGUUAUAAAGAUGGCAACGGAGAAUUUUCCGUCGGUGAAUUGCUCCCCAUCCCCGUCCCCGUCAACACUUGCGGGGGUAUUUUUCCUCUCAUCCCCGUCCCCGCACGGGGAUUUUAUCCCCACGGAGAUUCUGUCUCCGUAACAAAACUGCACUUUUUAGAGUAGCAAGAGCAAAAGUUAAUUAAAAAUAAAAGUAAAUCAAAUUAAAAACUCACAUAAUCCAAAGAAAAAAAAGACACCGCUCGUCCUCAUCUGCAAAAAUACACAGAACAAGAACAAUUGCCAGUUCUCUUCUCUCAAUCCAAAGAAAAUACAGUAGAAAGAAAAAAUGACUACAGGGAAUGGAAUUGAUCUAGCGCUUGGUACCUUGACCCAAACAAUCAUUGGGGUCACUUUCGGAUCUAGCAAUUUAAUGUGCCAACAACCGAUCGAUGGCAACGAGAUUGCACUUGCUUGAGGGGUACCAUGGCCUCUAGCUUGUGAGUUGCUGGAUGCAGGAGAGCCGGUCGGUGGGCAUCACCAACCAGUGCGGCAGUGCGGCUGUCAUAAGAUGGCACAGCAAGACAACAGGAGUGGACUUGGUGGCUCACGCGCAGCCAUGGAGCGUGCUAGGGGAGUAGAGUCAUGGAGACACAGAGUGGCGGCUAGCAUGUGGUGUGCCAUGGGAGGAGGAAGUGUGAAGUAAUGAGGUUAGUGUUUCUUCAUCGUAUAUAUACAUGCUGUCUGUAGAUGGCCCCUUAAUGGGCCUUCGCCUUGCUCGCUAGCUAGAUAGCACCGGUAGACACCUGAAGCGGGACGAGGAACGGGGAAUGGGGACAGGGACUGCACAACCAUCCCAGUCCCCACCAUCCCCGACAGGGACAAUGUUUGGACCGUGAGAAUCCCCGUGGGGAGUAUUGUGAUCCCAUCCCCUAAUAGGGGAAUUCCUCGUAGGAAAUCAGGUAACGGGGCCCUGUUGCCAUCUUGAUCUAGUUAGCAAAACUGCAUCAGGCCUUGCAGGCAAAGCCCAACGGCCAAAGCAUAUGUGGCCACAUCCUCCCAAAUCCUCCCUAUUGACUAUCAUCCUCGGCUCCUGUUCUGCAGCUGAAUCGCCCGCGCCCUCUGCUGUUCGAAAUCUUUCCCACCAGCCCCGUACUAGCCGCACUAUGAAAAAAAGUCAUUACAGACGUGCUUUCCUGGCCAGCUGUCGUGCAGAGUAGGCACACUGUUCGAGACUUUUUUCCGUACAGCGCGCUUUUAAAUUGUAGGAAUUUUAUGAAUUUUUAUCGGAGAAAAACGCAAGAUUCGGAAAGAAAAGAAUAAUCCCACACAGUCUGAAUGGGAAAAACCGUGUGUGAUAUGUUUUGUUCCAUUAACCUACUAUCUACCCCACUGACCCACAGAAGGCUCGAGCCCAUUUUUUCUGAACCACAAGGGUACGGUUUGAGAGGUUGAACACAAGUUUAAAAAUAAGUUGUGUUGUGCCUAACAAGUCCAAAAGAUAUAUCACAUUUUUAUUGAAGCUAUGUUCUCAACUUAAACAUAUAAUACACCUGAGGACACCAUAACCGAUGCACAGUAGAUUUUGGUGAUUGGUGAAAAAAGCCAAUAGCUUCUUCAUUUUAGUCUCCAAAUAGCUAUUCUCUAUUCUGAGUUUCUCGCUACCCACGGAGAGUGAAAAUGGUGCUCCAGAGUACAUACAAGAUAUAUAGAAAGGUUGUUGGAGAGAUAUAGAUAGUGAUUUUCAUUUAAAUGGCUCUCUAAAUAAUGGUACAGAUGAUGAGUUAAUUUUUUUUUUGGAGAUGCUCUAAAUGCAGUUGAUGAAACAUUGGGUAAUUACUAAAUUACAUUGUGUAUGUAAACAAUAUAAUUUUUCAAUCCUGCAUUGAGAAAUCAAUUUCUAGAUACUGUCCAUCUCAGAAUUAUUUUUGGUGGUGAUUUUCUUGGAGCUGGUGAGUAGUGGUACAAUCGAUUUUCUCACAUGUAAAAAGGAGCUGUCUCCGAAAAUCAUUUUUGUAGCAGUGUACAAUUGAAAGUGCUGAGUAUAGUAGUGGUGGCAGGAUAAUAGUGAGGGCGCUGUUAUAUGGGGUGGUGGAGGAACAACCGUUGCUGGACAGAGGACAGUAGUUGCUACAUGCAUUUUAUCCCUCCAUAUUCGUAAUCACAAGCUAUCCUAUUUUUUGGAAUCUAUAACAACAGCAUAAUCAAGUCCAGAACAACACAAAGAACACAGACAUUAAUAUUGGUGUCUAUCUUGAACUAGAUGAGUUAAAUUCUGUAGCUUGAACAAUGAGUCAAUGAAGUGGACGUACCUGGAUUCACGCGAGAACUGGCAUUGCGACUUUCUGCUGAGGAAAAGAUUUCAUAAUGCUGAAACCGCUAUAUUGUUUUAUGAAAGGUAAACACCCACCAUAGCUAAGUCCAGAACACCACAUAGAACACCGAGCUCAGCAUCUAUCACCAAGAUAGUAUAUAUAGAUGAUGAGUCAAAAGUACCAAACAAAAAAACUCUAGCUUGAACAAUGAGUCACGGAAGUGGUACAUACCUGCAGGAUUCAGACGAGAACUGGCAUCAACCUGUGACUUUCUAUUGAGAAGAUUGUACAUCGAUGCAUGCAAGAUACGAAAUGAGAGGUGAGGUGAUUGCAGAGAAAACAAUGGUCACGCUCGUCGACGAACUAUAUGCCAUGCAUGACAAGCAAGGAACAGCUAAUGUAUGAGGUGGAUUUUUUUUAUUUAAUUUGAGGUGGAUGCAAUGGACAAGCAAGGAACAUAUUCGCCUUUCUGAAAGCAGGAAUAAUAAAUAGUAUGCGCGGAAGCUUUAUUGUCCAAAGGAAAAGCGUGGAAAGAAGCAACCACAUGGUAAGGUAUCAGAUGUUAGAAUUUAUAUGGAUAAUACCCCUAAUUCCAUAUGAAGAAAUUCUAAUAAAUCUCAAAGGCCUAAUACAUGUAUUCCCUAAUGGGCUUUAAUAUUUAAGUCCAUGAGUAAAGGUGGGAGGUGCAACAUCAAUUAGUAUCAUAUUGCUAGUUGAUGUAGAGAUAGAGGGUUUUCCUCCACAUAUAUACGUACCGAUCCUCCUGGAAAAACACAGACCAAAAACUACAAUUGGGAAUUUCAAUUAGAAAAUCUUAACAUAGUAAAAUAGUAUUUUUCUCUUCUUGCUACUGCACUGUCGCUGUAGUUUCUCCAUCCCGAUCGUCAGCAUGCACCAGCGACCGGUAGAGCAGGUCUUCGGAACCCUCGUCUUUGCAAUCCUGCAGCGGGAGAAGGCGAAUAAGGUUUUUAGGAAGCACUCUUCGCGCGACUGCUCCCAACCUUCACCAUGGGCCAUCUUCCAUCCAUGUCAGGCGGUGGUACAUCCCGGCGUAUUCGUCGUCAACUCAAGCGAAGUCUUCCACCGCCGCUCAUCAACGUCAACGAUCUCGACCAUGCCUUCGAUGGCUACGACAUCGAGCUCGCCUUCGACAACCUCAAUCUUACGCCAUCCUCGUCUGCAUCUCCACCACCAAGUACUUCUACAGCUAGCAGGUAUAAUCUUAGUGAUCUAAUCUUGUCAUUUAUAUGUCCAAUCUAUCUAGUGUAUGAACUAUGUUUACACUAGUCAUCAUGUUCAUGCUAUGCGAUAUCAUGAUCUGUUUUGCUAGUAUGUGUGAUUUGUUAAUCUGCCAUGCUAGUAUUCUUUACGUGCUUAAUCUAGUUCAUCAUCUAGUCAUGUUUUAUGUUCUGGUUUUAAUCUGAAAAUUAAUCUGGAAUUUGUCUAAUUAUUUAACAUCAGAAACAUAAAGAAACAGCGCUUGCAGCGGCAUCCAGAAUACACAGUUUAUAGUAUGGUUCGAAAAGAUGUGAUCGUUGAGGAACUGAGUACACUAUAACAAAACAGCACAAAGGAGACGCCUAAAUCAGUGACCUUCAAUUGAAACGUAUCACUUAUGUCAGAUCAGUGACGCGUGUAAACUAAAUACGUCAUUUAGGUGUCAUCUAUGGUAAGGAAACGAAAUGCGUCACUAAUGACAACAUAUUAGAGACUCUUCUCCACAACGUGUCACUGGUAACCAGAGACUCGUUGGGAGGAAACAUGUCACUCCUAAAAGAUAUCGGACCCAAAAAAUUAUCAAAUAUUGCUAAACUAAAGAGUUAAGUCUUUCGUCCCCCUCCCAUCUGGAUCUGGCCGUGCCCACUCAUGGACGCACUGUGUCACCCAUUCCUAUCCUAUCUCUCUCGCCUCUCCGCCACCAUAUCCCUCUUUCUCCUCCAGAUCUGGCUGGAGUGCCUUCACCUCCUUGUGCCAAGAACAAUGGUGCAGACGGUACUACUCCAGGCAGCACAAGCGGGGAUGGCUUCGGACAGCACAUGCAGGGGUAGAUGAAAACGGAACGGAAAUAUCCCGAAUCGAACCGAACCGCUUUCUAUAUUUGAUCCGAUCGAAUUCGUAUUUUUUUGUCCGACUAUAUCGUUUUCGCUUUCGUAUUUUAGAUGUUUCGUAUUUUAAAUAUAAAAGUAGAAAACGGUUUUGACAUUUUUCGACCGUUUUCUACUUUUCUACUUUUAAUAUGAAAUAUUUCGAAUUCAAAAUUUGGUUUAAACCGAAUUUAGCCAACUGUAGAGUCACACAGCCCAAUUAUAGACUACUCACCAUGCAUCUGCGUUCUUUCUACUAGUGGCUAGUUGUGUUCAUGUUAGCUAUUAAUUGCUUAUUCUAGACUUGUAUUUAUAUGUGGGCUAUUGUAUUAAAUACCUAAGACUAAGGAGUAUGCACUUUUUAAUUAUUAUAUGCACUUGAACUUGAUCCUAUUUAUACUUUUAGUCAUGCACUUGGUACUAUAUAUCGGUAUUUCGUAUUGAGUUUUCAUAUAUCGACCGUGUUCGACAUAAAUCCGAUCGAAUUGGUUCGUUUUCGAAAUUCUCGAUAUUUCGUAAGUUCGUGUUCGUUUUCGUGUCCGACUUUACCGUUUUUGUUUUCGUUUUCGUAUUUCAAAUGUAAAAGUAGAAAACAAUUUAGGAGUUUUUCGACCGUUUUCAUCCUGAUGCGGGUCCCUACCGACAACGGUGCAUGUGCCCGGGGCCCGUAUCGGUGAUGGCGCACACCGUACCCUACCAGGUAUGGCGGGUGGGCCCCCUGCACCGGUAGUGGUGAGCACCCUCCCCAUCCCACUCCCCUUCCCCGCAGCACCUGCUCAUGCAAGGUCUAGGAGGCUGUGGACGUGCCUUCAGCCAGACUGUCUUCAGCGCACAUGCCUAGCAUCGGCACAAUGCCUGCAAGACCACCUGGCUUUAAUGUCGCAAAAUUUUCUAAAACUUAAAUUUGUUUGAACUGCAAUGUCUAUGCUAACUUAUAUUCAGAUUUGUUUUCUCUACCAAACUGGUCACCAAAUAAAUGUAAUCUGUGUAUGCCUUUGCAGUCAUGGUUUCAUUGUGGUCACUCCUCAAAUAUGUUUUGUUUUUUACAUGUGUGAUGCUGUGCCAUUAUAAAUGCAAUCUGUCUAUGCAAAUUCUUGGUGAUUUAUUUUUCAGAUAUGCACACAUCGGACUAUGCAGAUUUGCACUGGACCUACAUAGUCGGGGUGAACAUCUCUUUUUUUUUCAUGUCGGCACAUACUGAAAUACACAUCACUGGCUUCUCUGUAUUUUACUUAGGAUAUCUGGCCAUGUAGCAAUAUCAGUGAUAUUUUUGCAGCCAUUGAAAACUUUGUUAGUCUGUUACAUGUUUUUGAACUAUAUUUAAUUUCGAAAAAAAAGCUUUUUGAACAGUAUUUAAUUUCAUAAAAAACUUUGUCUCUCCGGCACCCACUUCCUUGUUUUACGAGACCAACGGAUUGACUAAGUCGGUUGCACCCUCCGCUAAAGAACUUAGCGUGUUUAUUUCACCUCAAAAACCAAAAACUUUUCAAGAUUCUCCAUCACAUCGAAUCUUACGGUAUAUGUAUGAAACAUUAAAUAUAAAUAAAAACAAAAACUAAUUGCACAGUUUGUCUGUAAAUCGCAAGAUGAAUCUCUUAAGCCUAGUUACUAAUAUGAUUGGAUAAUGUUUGUCAAAUAAAAACGAAAGUGCUACAGUAUCAAAAUCUAAAAACCUUUUGGAUCUAAACAAGGCCUGCAUGCAAGAAAUGUAUUGUAAUUUGUAUUAACUGCACAUGCAGUUGGCCGUAAGAUGAAGCCGAGUAUGUACCUGGAUUCUGUUUUCAUGACACAGCAAGCAUUGUUGUUACUUUCAGCAGGGCAGGCGGCCACUUGGCAAUAUGAUAUAUGACGAUAACCUUCAUUUAGAGAUUAGAAUAUGAUAACCUUGGCAUUCCGAUAUCUUUUCAGAAAGCUCGACGCCUUAGUUUCCAAGGCAAUGGAUUCGAGAAGCAAGGAGCAGACAGUUUGGAGAUAAAGUAAAGGUUAAAGACAUUAAAGCAACUAAACAGAAAGUGUCAGAUUGGUCAGUUAAUAGGCCUUGUUUAGUUUCCAACUCAAAAAAUUUUCAACCAUCACAUCGAAUAUUUGGACGCAUGCAUAAAUAUUAAAUAUAGAUAAAAAAUAAAUUAAUUACACAAUUUAGUUGGAAAUCACGAGACCAAUCUCUUAAGCCUAAUUAGUCUAUGAUUAGCCUUAAGUGCUACAGUAACAUACAUGUGCUAAUGGUAGAUUAAUUAGGCUUAAUAAAUUUGUCUCGUAGUUUCCAGCCGAGUUAUGUAAUUAGUUUUUUUUAUUACUAUCCGAACACCCCUUUCGAUAUCCUACGAAACAUUCGAUGUGACACCCAAAAAUUUUUCCCUCUCCAACUAAGCAAUGCUUUGUUUCUUAGUUUGCUGUUGACUUGAGCGAGCCCCUAGUGUCAAACGAUUUUUAUAGACGCCUCUAUUUUUUUCAGAGGCAGCUGAAUUUAUUAAAACUGUUUUUUGAAAUCGUUUCUUGGGCGCCGAAAAAUGGCCUACUCCAUGGAAAUGGACUUCCGGUGGUUCUUGAUGUACUCGCUAGCUGCCCAUGAAAAUCAAUAGAAAAGAAACUAAUUUUUCAUCUUAAUCCUUAUGUAUUAAAAAGGAACCUCCUCCUGGUAGUCAGGUUUAUCGUCCCUGAUACUACACCUCCCAUAGUUAAGCAUGAAUGAUGGCAGCGCAAUCAUUUCAUACCAGGUCGCUAGCAGUGAACAACUUUGCAGCGAAAUUCAGAUUAAGAAACGAAAUAUGGAGUUUAUCAGUGGUGGUGGAGUAUAUCGAGUUUAUCAAGUUUAUGGAGUUUAACGAGUAUAACAUUGUCUUAAUUGGUGGAGUAUAACAGUAUGCUAGACGGUAUAGAGAACGACUGAUAUUGUAGAUAUAGUCCAUGCGGCCACGUGGCUGGCAGGAGCUGGACAGAGCAGUACGUUCAUCGAAGGUGCCAGUGUGCCACCAAGUGCUUUGAUGAUUCACCAUAGCUUCCAAUUUACUAGUUGGGCUUCUGUAGUUUCGUCAAAUGAUAACAUCUAUAAGGCCGUACCAGAGAAAUCAAUGGGUAGCUCAUAACACAAAUAAAACAUGAGAAACAGAGUACAUUAACCGUUGAUAAAUUACAAAGAGUUCAAGUUUGUUCUCAGCAUACCAAUCCAUACAUACACACCAUGUAGCUCCAUUCUGGGUGGCAGUCUGAAACAACCAGUUACUAACAGAAAUACAUAUAAAACUCAAACAGACCAAGCAAAGCAGCACAAACAUAAUAUGUCCCUGACAAAAAUUAUUACAUGAAACAAAACACACUCAAACACAAAUCAUGAUACAUACAGCUCACGUAGGUUCAUAGAAUGGAGACGACACGCCUUAGUGGCGUUCAUGGCACCGAGCUGAGGAUAUGCAACAUUGCAACUCACCUGAGGUACCUUCGGAUGAUAUGUUUCCUGCGUGAAACAAACUCUGGUGGAGGGAUAUGCAUGUAGUAGUGAUUCUGCUCUGGCUACUCAGCCUGUUCCAUCACUCCUGUUCUCCACUCACCUCCACCUUUGACCUUGGAUGUUUCAUCUUCAGGAGCAGGAGACGGUGAAAGGAGUGGCAGCCCCUGACAAAGAGCUUCUCCCACUUUGGUGUUUCAAACUGAAACUUAACAUUAUCAUGGAUGUGCAGCAGUUGUGGAAGCUCCUGGAGGUAGAUGCUUUGGUGUUUGGUAGUGGGGAAAGCGCUACAUCAUAAUGAAAUCGUUUGUAGAAAAAUGUCUUGAAGUGGAGAGGACUCUCAUAUUUUAGUAUGACUACCUCAACUUUCACAAGCAAGGUGGAACUAAAGAGUUGCCACAUCCUCCUGAUGCACACAUGAAUGAGUCUUUGAGAUCUCUUAGGAAUUUUAUGAAUUUCUUAUGGGGCCAAGCCCAUAAAUUCCAACAAUCCUCUACCAGAUCUCAAAUGCCAAUUUAGAGGUUGCCUGUUCCCACUACUAUUUGAUAGUGUUUCAGCAUAGACUGUGAAGUUGAACUUCCGCCUGGAACCUCAAGUUACACUCAUCUGCAACUUCGACAAUGGACUACGCCUGUAAAUGCAUGUUUUGUGCAAAUGAGCUUUACUCAAAGGCAAACUAGUACUUGACUGCCAGUAGCCUUCUCCAUGGGUGAAGCAUAUACGUCAUACUCCUGGUCUGUUCAUGAGCUUACUAAAGAUUAAUCAAGUCUCAUAGACCGUGACGUCAUAUAGUCAAGCUCAUAUGGGUAUUUUCUUUCAAGAAUGCUCUGUAGGAUAGCAUAUUUGCUUGUUUAAAGCCAAUAAAACACAAUAAGGCAGUUACCAACCUACCAAGUAUUGCAUCUUCGCUUAGAGAGGGUUAUAGGUUACUCUCCUUAGUUUACCAAUAGCUUGUUCUUCUCAUAUCCUUAGUCACAGGAUCUCCAAUAAAAAAGGUUGGGUUACUACUACCAUAAACUCAUGGGAUCUGCUAGGUUUUUGUUUGUUUGCACAUAAGCCAUAGCGAUUACUCUAAAAUUUCUCUCAACUUCCUGACAAACUUCCAAUGUCUUUUUAGUGUCUUAUUAACUUUGCAUUAUCGAUCCUUAGAAUUGUUCACUUUAGUAAUCACUAUUUGAUUAUCACAGUCCAAGAAGAGCUCACACAAUCAUUCUGCCUCUACAGAAGCUGUGUCUAAAGAAGUAAGUUCUCCUUCCAUGGUUGAUUUAGUCAAAAUAGUUUGUUUGCAAGACCUCCAUGACACCGUGCCACCUCCAAGUCUAAACACAUACCCACUAGUGGUGUAGAUUUGAUCAAUAUCAGAAAUCUAGUUUGAAUCACUAUAUCCCUCAAUCACAGUUGAGUGCCCAGAAUAGUGAAUCCCAAAACUCAUUGUACCUUCAAGAUAAUGCUAGACUCCUUCCAAUGCAUGCCAAUGGUCAUCACCUGGGUUGGACAUGUACCUACUCAACAUGCUCACAGCACAAGAGAUGUUUGGUCGUGUUGCGCUAGCUAAAUAGAUGAGUGAACCAAUGAUCUGAGAGUACCUCAAUUGGUCUCUAGCAAUCUUCUUGUUCUCUCUCAGUGUCACACUAGGAUCAUAAGGUGUUGGAGAAGGCUUGCUAUCCAUAAAGCCAAAUCGAAUCAAGACCUUCUCAACAUAGCGAGAUUGCGACAAAGUUAUCCCACUCUUAUCCUUAAUCAGCUUAAUGUUUAGAAUCACGUUAGCUUCUUCCAGAUCUUUGAUGUCAAAACUCUUUGACACAAAAGACUUGACCUCAUUAAUUACAUCAAUGUUUGUUCCAAAGAUUAAAGAAUCAUAAACCUAUAAACAUAAUAUAAUAUAAUAUAUGAAGAUUAGAAGGUGCGCGUGAGUGUACCUAAUAAGAGGUAUAGCGCCCGAGCAAUCAUGGAGGUAUCGGUCUAGGGAUCCUUCGGUCAGGCACCUCUUACCCCGUGAAAGGUCCUGUGGCUAGAGGAGGGUGAAUAGCCUAUUUAAAAACUCUACAAAACACUAGAGCAAAUGAUUAAUAUAACAAAAGGCAUAAAGCAAAAUUUCUCUAGCUCUACAAGGUUUGCAAUCCAUCUAUCCAACAAUUCUAGUUGCUAAGAUCACUAAACACACAAGAGCUAUGUCACUACAAGCUACACAAGUGAACUAAGCUAUACGAGGCAAAGCUAGCAACUAAAACUAAUUAUACUACUUUGCGGGAAUGUAAAUGGAGAGGAUGUGAUCUUUAUACCUCCGCGUAGAGGAAAGUGAACCAAUCAAUAUGAUGAAGACCAAUCACCAGGAGAAAUCCAAUCAAACACAAGAGAUGGCAACAAUGGUUUUUCUCCUAAGGUUUACGUGCUUGCCGGCUCGCUAGUCCCCAUUAUGUCGACCAACACUUGGUGGCUCGGCGGCUAAGGUGUUGCACGAACCUCGUCCGCACGUAGGACACCACAAAAACCUACCCACAAGUGAGGUAGCUCAAUGACACGAGCAAUUUACUAGAGUUGUCUUUGGUGCUCCACCUGGGAAGACAACAACCCUCACAACAACACCGGAGGUGGCCAAGAACAAACACCAACUCUUGCCACAACUCCACCGCUGUUCUAAGCCGUCUAGGUAGCGGUAACCACCAAGAGUAAUAAGAACUCUGCAGCUCAAAUGAUCCUACCACUUGAUGCAAUCGCUCAUGCAAAUGCAUUUGGAAUCACUCCCAAUCUCACUAUGAUAAUGGAUCAAUGAUGGAGAUGAGUGAUUGAUGUUUGGUUAGGCUCAUAAGUAUAUCAAGUAUGUCAAAAUGCCAAGAUGGUGAGCCCUAACCUCGCCAAACACUAUUUAUAAGUCCCCCAAAGAAAUAGGGCCAUUGGCUCUCUGUUCUCACCGGACGCUCUGGUGCGAUCGACCGAACGCAGCCCCCAGCGUCCGGUGCAUAGAUUGCUGCCACGCGUACUCUGCCUUUGAACGUCAUGCAUUAGAUCUCAACGAUCGCUACUCAGAGAGAUCCAAAACGCUCAAACUCACACCAAACACGUUUGGUGCAUGCUGACAGGCGCACCCCAGCGUUCGGUGCAACACUACACGCUAGAUUUGCGCCAUGUCAGCCUGACCAGAUGGUGAAAAGUGUUCACCCAGCGUCUGGUGAGCAGCGUCUGACGCUCUCAAGAAAUAACCGGACAUGUAGGUCCCUGCGUUCGGUGCUCAACCCUAGGUUAUGCUCUGUGUGCGGUACUCACCGAACGCAUGCCUAGUGUCUGGUGCUCAUGCCUGUUGCGUAUGGUGUACUCCUGCGACUUUGCUACCUCUUCAACUCCGCCUCUGGCGUAGUGGAAAAUAGACAUUUUAUUUCCACAAAACACAUGAAUCCCAAAUCCCUCUCUACCCUUCAAACUUCACCUCCUUCUCAAAGUGUGCCAACACCACCAUGUGUACACCAACGUGUGCACGUAUGUUAGUAUUUUCACAAUCAUUUUCUUCAAACGAGUUAAGCUAGCUCAUUAGGUUCUAAAUUCAUGCACAAAUGAAUUCACCUAGUGGCACAUGAUAACCGCUUAGCCAAACAAUUCCCCUCUUUAUAGUACGACUAUUUAUCCUAAAUGUGAUCAAACCCUCCGUGGUGUCUCGAUCACCAAAACCAAAAUCUUAUUUAUACCUUUGCCUUGAUCUUUAUAGGAUUUUGUUUUUCUCUUUCUUGUUUUCGAAGUUGAGCACUUGAUCACCUUAUGGUCACCACCACCAUCACCAUGAUCCUCUAGGCUCCACCACUUGGCAUGUAUCAACCUCAUCUAAUCCACACACACUUAGCAUAGAGGCUAGUACCGCUUUCACCCUAGCACCUAACACAUCCCUAAGAUUGGUUCUCGUCACCCAUGUUCACCGAGAGUUGCCUUCUAGAAGUUGUUGCGAUCACGACAAUGGGCCACUGGCAUGCAUGGCCAACCUCCGUGACACUAGUCAAAAUUAACCGCAGCAAAGUUGAAGUCCCCAACCCAUCAAAUUGCUUCGUGGAGGUGCUCAACAACCAUGUUAUGUGUGCAUCAAAGAAACCAUCACCAUAGCUUCCGCAAGACUUUAGGAUUGGUCAUCGUCAAAGCCACCAUCACGAAGAUGCCACACUAAUCUAGUAGAUUGUAGAUAUGUCGCAUUGAUGCAAGCGCCGUCAAACAGGCACUAUACCACGCUGCACUAGCCGCUGUCAAUCAGGGCCAGGUGCCACACCGCUGCUAGCAACCAUGCCACCUUGCCUGUAGUAAGACUAGGCUGCAGAACCACCAUGCACCGUCGGGCCGGGGUAGGAGUGAGCCAGGCGCGCUGCUCGGGAGCCAGCACACUGUCCCAUGCCACGCACCUGGCCUGGUCCUGCCCCGAAAUCGCUGGAUCAGGCAAAGGGAGCACUAGAUCUUAAGACAAAGGGAUCAGGCCAGGUCAGCAUCCCUCUGCUCCAACGGCCACCACGUCAGCAUCUGCUUUCACCCCUGCCUCUGCUUUCAGCACGUUGUUAUCAAAGAACGAACGAUGAAAAGAGGCACCACCUCCGCCCAUUGCUCCCUCCGUUCGGGUGCAUAUUGUUUGCACAGCAGAAAGAAUACAGGAAAUCCCUUCCCGCGUCACCGCGUGACCGAGACUGAUGACGAGCAACACUUAUCAAAUCUAGAUUCAGCAAUAGUCAUUCUGCAGCAAAGGAAAUUCUGACAUCUUCAGAAAACACGUCCUGAAGGAAAGGAAUAAAGCACAAGCACAAUCCUACCUGAAACUGAUGAACACCUUUUUCUGCUCAUCAUUUAAUAAUUUUACCCUGUUUUUGUGUAUGCUCAGAAGUCAGGGGAGACAUGGCUGUUCGCUUGGCUGAUAAGCAAUGAUUGAAAAUACUGUUCGCUGAUUUGUUGUGAGAGAAAAAUAGUGUUGCAUGGCUGACAGAUUCGGCAAAUAAAGCUCAAGUGAAGAGUAAUGGAGUUGAACACUGAGUCACCUCAUACUUCAUGAGGUGAUGCAUCAUGAGUUCGCCUCAUGAAUUUUGGUGGAAUCAAGCCAUUCCUGAUGCAUAUACUAAUUAUUACCUUGUGAGGAAUGAGUGAUGAUGGAUCAACUCAUUCCAUCAUACAAACCAUAUAAAAAACGUGAGGAGUGUGAAGAACAUGGACCAUCUCAUUAGUCAAAUCAAACACACCCAAGUCGACAUGGCUGGGACCCGCUGGACCAACUGAAGAAGAGGAUGUGCAAUGCCAUGAAUAAAAUGGGCAGAAGCGAGUUAGGGAACCUUUUUUCAAGAAAAUUUUCAGCUAAAAUGCCAAAACAUUGCUUCUAUCAGUUGUGGUGGAGUUUACUCAUGUAAUAGGUAUUGCUUCAGGCCAGGAAUCGUAUUGCUGUAGCUGUAGCCUCCAUCUCCACGAAUGUGCUCUGCAUGUUAACUAAUUUGAGCUUGGUCACUGGUUGGUUCUGUCUGUCAAAGUAUUCGACCGUGACGGGGAGACUCCCCUAGGCUCUAUGUUAAGAAGUUGCCAUGCUUCAGCGAGUUAGUUGUGUUCAAAAAUUCUGUUCAUAUGAUCCCUUCAUAUUUAAGCUCUGUCCCGGAAAUUACAUGGAUGCAUCUUGACAUCAACCUAUCUGUUCCUCACAACUUAUGAUCAUAAGGUAACAGCUAGCAAGGUGACUUUGUUCUGGAUUCUAUAGAACUCUGAAUAAAAUUCUCCGUUCUCAACUAUAUGAGUGAGGCACAUUACACUAAUUAUAUUGGUAACAGUUAGAGCUUGUGACAGCCAUCCUGCAGUGGGGAUCCAUUGUCUACGUGGAAUUUGACAGAAUACUACUUGACUGUGUCCGGGGUAUAUAUAAUAUCAAAUGACCUACAAUGAUGCAGAUAAGAAAAUAACAUUAAGCGCCAGGGGAAUAACCAAUAAGCCCACAACAUAUAAAAGUAGAAAACCAGAGUUCAUUAACCAUUCCAAUUACAACACAGUACAGUUCCAAAUUACAAAGAGUAUAGGUUUGUUCUCAGCAUACCAGUUCACAACUUCAUACACACAAAGCUUGCUUUCAUGGCAACCGGAAAACACAAAUUAUUAAAUCACAUACAAAUUAAACCCAAACGGGUUGAGCAAACCAGCACAAUGAUGACAUGUCCCAUGGCAAACAUUAUAAGACAAAAAAAUAACACACUCCGUCACAAAAGCAGGAUAGAAACACACUGUGAUGGAUAUAAUGGAGAGAGCAACUGAGUUGUGUGCUUGACACAGAGCUCUGGAUCUGAAACCAAUCCGAUCACCUGAGGUAGCUUUGGAUGAUAUGUUUCUUGCGCGAUACAAACUUUGGUGGUGCCACAUGUAUGUAAUAGUCACUCUGCUCUGGCAUUUUCAACUGCAGCCUGUCCCACCACUCACGCUCUCCGCUGACUUCCACCUUUGACUUUGGAAGUUCCAUCUCCAGGAGUGGGAGAUGGUGGAAGCAGUGGCAGCCACGGACAAAGAGCCUCUCCCACUUUGGUGUUUGAAACCGAAACGCGACAAAGUCAUGGAAGUGCUGCAAUCGUGGCAGCUCCUGGAGGUAGAUCCUUUUGAUGUUUGGGAGUGGAGAAGGUGCUACCUGAUACAAUUGUUGUUUGUAGAAAAUUGUCUUGAGGUUGGAGCAGAAGAGAAUGGCCAGAGUCUCCAGUGCAGGUAAUGAUAAACUACAUGGGAACAAUUUCUCCAGCCGUGGACAGUGCUCCAAGUGAAUGUGUUUUAGUAACUUCAGAGUAAUAAAAGAACAAUAUACCAGAUGACUAGGCUCCACCACACAUAGUAGGUUAUUUAGAUCGAAGACCUGCAGUAUCUGUAAGUGUGACAAGGCCCCUGAAAUAUAUGAAGACAUUAAAAAUACUACUGCCAGUUGAUGGCAGCGCUGGACCUGGCAUUCUUCUAGCUCAUUGAGAUUGCAGUUGAGGUCAGUAAGGCAUCUAACAAAAGCAUCAUCUGUGAUGAAUAUUGACUUUGUCACAGAGAGAAUAUGCCUUAAGCCACUUGGGUACUGAAUCUUAGCUGAUAUCUCAACAUGACGUUGUUUCGGCUGAAUCUUCAUCAUGGGCAUAAUGCUAGCUACCUCCGAAUACUGAACAUCACUAUAAUUUGAAAGCCUCUGGAUCCUGGUACAUAAUUCAACUUCCUUGUUUCGUAGUUUCUUGCUUGUCACGCUGCAUGGUUUAACUUGAACAUUGAAUGACUCCAGAAACUGUCCUUCAUUGACUAACUUUUUAGCAGCAUCUGCGUUGAAGCUAUGAAACAUUCUGGGGUCAUUUAUGUUGAUCUGAGCUGUAUUGGUAGAAUUAUCAUUGUUCUGAUUUUCAUCUCCAUAAGUUUGCUGCUGGCAAAAUAUCUUUGGAAUUUGAUUUUCAUCACUUGCACAUUGGUCGAAAUAGAAUACCUUAGGAAACCGGACCAACUGAUGCCAUGGAAAUCUCAUGGAACAAGGUACACCAAGAAGAAUUAACAUGUUGACUUGUGGUAGAUUUGGUAGGUUGUGAGGGACCUCCUCAAUAGCGGUUCCAGAAAGAUCAACAGCCUCCAAUGCUGUAAGAUUAUCAUUAAAGAUUACAGAUUUGAGCUUGCUGCACCCACACAAGGACAAGCACCUAACCCAUGGUCCGGAGAGUGAGAAGGUUCUCAGAUUAGGGUGCCCAAGAAUCUUGAUAUCCGCCAAUGCUUCCCAUGUUUGUAUAAACAGAUUUUCAAGAAAUGGUAAUAGUUCCCAGAGAAUCUGAAUCAUUAAGCUAAUGCAGUUAGAAAUAUGUAGCUCUUUCAGGCCCUUGGCUUCAGAUAGUGACAUUGGGAGUGACUUCAAUAGCACGUUGUUGAUUAGUUUGAGUAUAUGCAGGCUCUGCAUUUUUUGGAACAUGUGCUCUGGGAAAGAGGUAAUUUGAGUCCCCUCGACAUGAAGAACUAAUAGAUUUGACAGUUGUGACAUGGAUGAAGGUAAUUCUUUGAGAUUGGUGCAAUUACCGAGAAUGAGCUCCUCGAGGCUUGACAUCUCACAGAAGAAUUCAGAAGGCAGGGUGGUGAACUUUGAGCCUGAUAGAUCAAGGUAGUGCAGAUUGCUCUUGUUACUAGCGUCUUGUUGUGUUAGCUCAAGCAAGGGAGCUCCAUUCAUAUCAAGGACUUGAAGGUUUUCAAGAUGAGCAAGUGGUGAUGUUUGUUUUUCAGAACUAGCAGGUGGUGAUGGAGACAUGGUGUCUAGUUGAGAGCAGCCUCUGAGCGAGAGCAUGUAGAGGUUCAGUAGAUUAGAAAAUGAAGUGGGAAGUGAAUUUAUAGGGGUGUAGGAUAAAUCAAGGACACGGAGUUGUGGGGUGAGCAAUGUAUCAAAAGGAAUGACUGACAUAUUUGAACAACCUCUCAAAAUAAGGGUUGUCAUCAUUAUAUCUCUUCUGGUUUGCCUCGGUCCCCAAUCCCAGCUUAGAUGCCUACCGUCAUCAUUCAUAAAUGAGACCCAUCUUAGUUUGUUUCUCAUCACAUGAGUAUUGAGUUCAUCUUGUUUGAGACGUGGGACACCUUCAGCUAAUUUUGACACACCAGUGAUGACAUCCUGAGAAGUAGUUUCCUCACUUGAUGAAGUGCUUACUGAUGAGGUAGAAACAGCAGAGUAGAUUGGCAGUAAUGAGUAUUCCUGCAAGGCUUGAAUCACGAUCUUUCCAACUUCAUAUGCAGACCUAUAGUAGUUGCUGUGUUUUUGGCUGGUGGCUGGUGGUGUACCGGUGGAGAUUGCUGUUGAGAAAAGCAGGUCCUCAGCCACCCAACAGCGAACCAGCUCAUCAGAGGUAACACAGGAGGCCUGACGUCCAGAAGCUCCUUCUCCUUGUGGCUGGUGGUAGAGGAUACCAUAGUACAGGCAUUGCUGAGCUACGUGGACCCAAAACCUCUCUCCAUUGUGUUGGAUUGCCAUAUAAAUGGAUCUGGCUGCAUCCUGUAUGGCCUCAUUAAUCAACAUAGCCCAAUCUCGGCUACCGAGAUCACUGAAAGAUGGUUCAAAGUAAUAUUCCCGAGUUAAAUGGAUACCCAUGUCACGAUCACCUUCUGCGUCUCUGCUCUUUUCACAAACAUCCUUGGAAGUAACUGAGAUGAGCCAACGCCGGUUUUGGAAUGUCGUCGGCCGACGCCGGCAUAAUAUGAAAGCCAACACGUCCAAUGAGACGGGAACAUGCAGGUUCUCUAGGAGCAGCAGGUGCCUCUUCCCUUCCAAUGCGUCCCAGAUCCUUUGUAGUAAUGGAGUACGACCAUCUUGACGGUCAUAGAUAGGAUCAUUCCGUACGGAUUGAUCUGUUGCAAAGGAUUUAAUGUACCACCGUCCAAAAGCCUGGAGCAUCAGGUUGUCAGAGAUUUUGCCGUAGCCAAAGUAGCUCUCUUCUGAGGCAAGUUGCUUGAGCUCCUGAAGUUGCUUGCUGUCGUCAAGCAUCAGUAUUCCUGUGAGGACCUCAAACGCCAACAGAUGCUGGGCUGUCGCUGUAGUGCUUGAGCUCCUGAAGCUGCUUGCAGCUUCAGCGAGUGGUGGGAGCCUCACGCGUAUAAUUUGGUCAUAGGGUCCAUACAGGUCCUUGGUGCAGUUGAACAAGAGCCUGGUAAUUGUGGGCAAAAAAGAAGCUGCAGGUCCAAUUCCGACGUUCCAUAUCACCGGAUACUCCUUGCUCCAUUCAACUACCUUCUGUUCCAAGGCAGCUAGCCACCACCAUCCAUAAUGAUUCCCGAGCCUCGCAGAAAAUAUGGAACCCGACCUGGAACAUAAGACCUGGUUAAUGCUCGCUCAAGAUGUGGUUAUUAAUAUUAUAAAUAGGAAGUUAAUAAGUUGAUUCCACUGCGCAAAUCAUAUUCAGCAAUGUUCUUUUUUCUGGUCAUUUGCAUCAUUAUAUUGUUCGCAAUUAGCAAAACGAUAUGUAUGCCUUCAAAAAAAAAACCGAUAUGUCUGAACCAACCAGUCUAUUUCUGGUCAUUUCUCAUUGUUUGGUUCUGGUUAACCAGGACCUUGUUUUUACUUUCCAAAAAUUUUGUAAAAUUUUUUCAAGAUUUCCCGUCACAUCGAAUCUUACGGCAUAUGCAUGGAGCAUUAAAUAUAGAUAAAAAAUAACUAAUUACAUAGUGUUUGCCUAUAAUUUACGAGACAAAUCUUUUGAAUCUAGUUAGUCUAUAAUUUGACAUUAUUUGUCAAAUACAAACGAAAUUGCUAUCAUGUUUAUUUUACAAAAUUUUUUACAAUUAAACAAGGCCCGAAUAAGGAUUUGGGUGGAAGUAGCAAGAAUGGGGCCGGGGACGAUGAUUUACUCCUUUCUAAUAUUAUAACAAUUCCAGCUCCCUUUGGUUGUUGCCAAAAUAAAAAAAAGGGAAUAACAUUUGAGGCUCUACCAUGGGUUGCAGACACAAAUAGGAAGGUGCCACAGUAAGGUGACACAAAUAGGAAGCAUCAGUAUCCUGCUGGAGAACGCAUCAGCCAUGGCGUUGAUUCGCUAUCACUGUGUUCCUUGUGCUUCCCUGGUGGGUUAGUUUAUGUUUCCAUUUCCCGAAUGCUAUGAUGUUUGUGUUUAGGCACUGCUAAUGCACACAAGGUCUAUAUCAAUUUCAGUGAAGUAGCCGUGAUAGAAGAAGCCUAGCUUCAUGGCAAUCUGGUUUUCAGUUCGUAAAUUGAACAAAUCUACUGCUAGAAGUCAGAGACAGAGGCACGAUGGCAUUAUUUAAGCUUUAUUUUCAAUUUUUCCAGCAAUGCAAUCACUUUGAAAUAGACAAACACUGAAAGUAACCUCAUGUAUAUAUUGUCAAAAACAAAAAUGUUGUUUUGACGACAUGAAAGUUCUGGAUGAAUCACAAAUAAUGUAUAAUGUCUCCAUGCAUGUUUUGUUUCUAGACAUUUCGGUGUUUACUGCUCUCUCCGUUCUAAAUUAUAAGUGUUGUCUUUUUUAGUAUAUCAAUUUUGGAAUGUAGAGAGUAAUAAGGUAGCUUGGUGAUGUUUUCAGCAGCAAAGCAAUCCGGCCAAACGUCAUAUCGUUGAGGGCCUGUUUAGAUUCAAAAUUGUUUUGGAUUUGGAAAUUCUAGCACUUUCGUUUGUAUUUGGCAAAUAUUGUCCAGUCAUGUCCUAGCUAGGCUCAAAAGAUUCGUCUCACAAAUUACAGAAUACAGAUAAACUAUGCAAUUAGUUAUUUCUUCUAUCUAUAUUUAAUGCUUUAUGCAAGUGCCGUAAGGUUCGAUGUGACGAUAAAUCUUAUAAACUCUUUUGAAAUUUUGAAUGCAUCUAAACACGGCCUUGUUCAUCAGCCACAGUUGAGAAAAUAAAUGCAGUGAAAAGGACAACAAGCAAGUUGUGAUAACGCACCCCAUAAAUUGAAGAGGGUCAUUGAUGAGAUAGUCGACCAAGCGGAAGACAUCACUGAUAGUAUUCAUUUAUGUCUGGCUACUCCCGUCGUCUCCUCGGGCUUCUGCCUAUAGUGCCACCUGAAACAUGUAACGCUGUAAGGGCAUGUACAACGGGUUUGUAAACUCUGUCUGUAUGCAGUAUAUUUUACAAAAAGAACCCUGUUUCUGAGCAGACGAGCUCACUCCGUCGUUUCGCGAGACGACGAGCGUGGCUCGUGGUCCAAGAAUCCCUCGUCUCUCUAGAGUCGCGUUGUAUGGUGGAGUCGACGAGCGAGACGAUCUAGUUGAGGGCGCGCGUGCGGAGGGAGUUGAGGGCGCGUGGGAAUAGAUUUUGCAAGGCAGCGGGCCUCUUCCCCGUUGGAGGCAGAUCCGGCUCUGCACCCGGCCUCCCCUUUGGCCGUGGAUCCGGCGCACCUCUUUUCCCCAUCAGCGGCGGCCAACGGCGAAGCAUCAGCAUCAUCCUCAUCCAUGGCUGCAUCCAGCAUGGAGACUCCUUCCCUAUCAGCGGCUUCACUAGCCACGGUAGUUGUUUCUGAAUUUUGGUUAUCACAUGGCUUUGAUUAUCAGUAGAUUACUGCAUGUUUUUUUUCUUAUGAAAACAGAUCUGAAGUUUUUGCUGCUUUGUAAGAGAUUACUGCAUGUUUCUGAAUUUUGGUUUGUGUGAGCUCGCUGUUUUUUCGUGCCUGUUACUAUCUGCUAGUGGUAAUGCUUUCUGAGUUGCUGUAUGCAACUGCUAUUGUUAGGCAAGUUUCAGUUAUUGGUGCUUGUUACUAUAUACUGCUUUCAGUUUGUGCUAGUUCUGAACUUUUAGUUUUGUGUGAUCGCUGAGAAGUCUCCAAAGUGUUACUGAACUGUGAAAAUCUUAUAUUAUUUACAUGAGCAGCUUUGUUCACUUGUUCAGUUAACUUGUUCUACUACUACUAAUUUGUUGAUUGGUGUGUACAGAACUAGCAGGGAAAAAGUUAAAGAAGGAACCCAUGGUGAAUUUCUGGACACUAUAAGGAUGAUUUUGCUAGUUAUGUUAGUAAUCAGCAGAUGGCAUGAUGAUUUUGCUUGUGACCAGUCUUUUGCUUGUCCUGUUGCCUUGGUAUGCUCGGGCUAGUGCUGUUAUUUGUCUUUUGGGUGUGAACCUGUCUCCUGUGUAUGCACAGGCUAUUCAAAUACUUCACAAGAUACAAGUUCAAACCUAUCUAGCUUAUUCUGUUUAAGUAAUGAAAUUUAUGGAUCCAGGUUCUCAGUUAUUGUGCAUUACGCAGUCAUUUUCUGAAUAUCGUGCAAUCAGCAACUGAUGAACUAGUAUGAGCGUUUUUUUUUGCUAGCGUGAGUUAAAUAUUGGUCUAUGUGAUUAGCUAGCCGCAAAAUGCUAUAUAGGAAUUAUAUUUAUACUUGAUCAUAGAUCCAUGAAAACAUUAAUAGCUUGCAGAUAAUCAAAUAGACAGCCUAUUGUACGAACUGUCUAUUUGUCAGAUUCUAAGAACUUACAGACAACCUCUUGUCUGUGAGUUGUACAUGCCCUAACCAUUUGUUUCUCUCAGUGAAAUGCAUUUCAUGAUCAACAAGAUCAAAAUAAUAUUUAAAUUAUAUAUAUAGAUGUGUAUACAUAUAAAAAUAAUACUAUUGGAGAGGACUUCAGUAAAGAAAGGCAAAUGGUGGGUUAAGUUGUAUAUGCGCAAGUCAGAAAUUAAGAACAUUUUGUAUAUAUACUUCCCUAGCUAUGAUAACAUAUUUUAUUACUAUCAUUGUACAAAUUAUUAAAGAAAUUGAUAGUGCUAUGUUGGAUUUAGAAAUUUUUCCCUAGCAGUGGUAUGGUUUGAUACUGUUUUUGUUAAUUCCUACUCCCUCGAGUCGCAAAUAAGUGAUGAUUUAGAUAUUGACAUGGUCUUCAAAAUAUGAUUUGGUUACUACUUUUUAAAUAUAGUUUAGUAAAACAUAGCACACUUAUAAUUUUACAAAUCUAUAUUUCAAGGCUAAUCCAAUGUUGCUAUAAUUUUCAAAUAUAAAAAACAAUACACACAAGUAAUACAUAUGAAGCAAAUAUAUAAAAGUGUCGACUCAGCUGGACAAUGCAAAGAGUCACUCAUCUUUGAAUAGAGGGAGCAAAUAACAUUAGUAAAAGAAACGGUCAUCAUCUCUGGAAUAUUUUUCUUUUGUAGUCAUGAAAAUAAUUGCAAGUUCGAGAUGCCAAUUAUUCCAAGUGGUUAACUAAAAAAUUGUUUGAGAUAACACUUAUAUCAUAUGGAUUGGAACCGUGUAUGGCAUUUUUUUUCUCUAUGACUGUGAUAUGUUUGGUUGCAUAGUUAGCAAAAAGCUAAAGAAACAUAAAAACUGUGCUCUAGAAAAAAGUGAAUUUGGAAGCAUCAUGUAAACCCACAAAAGGGCGUGUCCCAUUUUUUCUGAACCACGGUUUCAGAGGCAGAAAAGAUUUUUAAAAAUAGGCAGUUGUGCCUAAUAUAACAACUCCAUAAGAUAUAUCAUUUUUCAAGCUAUGUUUGCAACUUAACAUAUUUCAUGCCUCCAUAGUAGAAGCCUAUAAGGAGUGGAAAACUAAAAAUGUCAAUGAAAAAGCAUAUAAAGUAGUUAGUAAUAAUUAACUAAAGCUAAUCACAACUGUAGAAAUGGUAGGUAAUAAAUAUUUGUAUAAGUAUAUACAGUUUUAAGUAUACAAAGAUCAUGCAUGCCAAUAUACUCCCCUCCAUCCUAAAAGGACGAGACAUAAUGUUUUCCAUGAAGUCAAUUAUAAAUAAGAUUAAGUUUAUAAGCAAUAGUAUCAACAUUUAUGUUUCUAAGCACAUGAACUAUGAAACAAAUUACCUCAUUAUAAUCUAAUGAUAUAUAUUUCAAAUCGUAAAUGUUAUUACUUUUUGUAUAGAUUUGGCCAAAUUUGAAAUUUGUUCACUUCUUAGAAACCAACAUGUCCACUCUUUUCUGGCGAGAGAGUACAUGGAAGCAUCGAUAGCAAUGGUCAGGCGUAAUUCCAUGGUACCUCUAGGUAUUUUUUCCAUGAGAUCUUUUACAAUGGUUAGGAAAGUACCAUGGUACCUCCAGGUAUUUUCCAUAGAAAAAAGUCAAAAUAGCUGAGUUUUUUUCCCUUACCUCGCGUGCACUCCGCGAGGGCACGGCACCACCGCCGGAGCGCGGCCCAGCCGGCGCGCGGCCUCUGCUACCGGUGUUGUGGAGCGCCCGCGACCCCGGCUGCGGCGGCGCGGACCAGAUCAUCGACGGCGGCGUCAACGCCAACAACCCACACCUCCGCGGCUGAUGUGACGAGCUCCCUGGCCACGAAGAACUGGUGAACAGCAUCCCAUAGCUGGCACCGUGUGCACUCCGCGAGGGCACGGCACCACCGCCGGCGCGCGGCCCAGCCGGCGCGCGGCCUCGGCUACCGGUGUUGUGGAGCGCCCGUGACCCCGGCUGCGGCGGUGCGGACCAGAUCAUCGACGGCGGCGUCGACGCCAACAACCCACACCUCCGCGGCUGAUGUGACGAGCUCCCUGGUCGCAAUGGCUCCUGUGUCGAUUGCGCCGUCGAUACGGAGAGCACUAUGGCAGAUUACGGUGAAGGAAACAACACCUCCCGAUCUUGGCGUCUCGGGCAAAUUCUGGGAUCCCGAGUCUGAUUCGGAGUGCGAGGACUUGGGCAUGGCGGAAACUCUUGCGUGCUGCGUUGCCGCCCCGACGAUCCAACAGCGUGCAUCAACCCCAACGAUCCAUCAUGAAAGGAUCACGAACAUGCAGCUCCGUCAACCAACGCUGCCAGCUACGACAUCGCCAUCCCCAAAGCCAGUCCGGGCGCCGUGGAAGGGGCUAUGGAGGGGUCCUCUUCCGCCGCGACGAGUCACGCCGGCAGCAAAGCUAGGCGACUUCAUCCGAGAUCCUAAAUCAAAGGAUUUUCAAAUUUCAAAUCCGCGAACAGGGGCGUCUGCACCGGACCCGACACCACCAAACCGACCGAACCGGACCAUGAACGCCACGCGGGAGGCAACACAUCGGGACACCCUGACCCGGGACGUCGCGAUCUAUCCUAUCGCGAAACCGGCUCUCGGUGGACCUAAGCGUCAGCUGAUUGACAUCUCCGCCUUCCAUGCCGUCGCCCCUCAGGCACUCCACGUCGCCGCACCGGUGCUCUCACUCCACGCCGCCGCCCCGGUGCUCUCUUAUCGGGACGCUCUCAUGGCCGGGAACCGGGGCUACUCAAGAGGACGCGCCAUCGCUGGCCAUGGUACGCUGGAUCGCCGUGGCAAGGGGCAUGGCCCCCCUCUAGAUGCCCAUGGCCGAGAUCGCCGUGGCCAGGGACAUGGCCGGAGAGCGCGGGGUUCUCACUCCGUUCAGGCCGAUCCUUGUCAUGGGGAUCUCCCUCUGCCGGGCGCUGCGGCGAACGAGGGACGCGGCCGGGGGGCGUCUCCUCCUUUGGCCGAUACAGAUUCUGUAUGUGGUCGCGGCCGAGGGGACUCCUGGAGCAUCGCCAACAACAACAGAGCGGCAUCUCUCGACGCUGCUGAGAAUGCCCCUGGAUGCAACGGAGCGCGAGGGGGUGCACAGGGUGUCGGACAACGGCCACAAGGCAGUGGUCGGGGUCGCGGCGCCAACGCCGGCAACAACUUUGACAGCUCCUGAAGUGUCUUGGAGGAUGAACAAGGCAAGCAGAAACGAAAGCGCAAGGAACAGUCAGUGAAGCUAGAAUGCAGCAUUUGUACUGAGGACCACUUCACUAAUCUGUGUCCGCUGCUUCGAGGCCCGAAACCCACAGUGGCCUAUUGCGGCGCUGCUGAGGAUGGAAUGGGGUUUUUUCAGAUCCAGGCGGCAAGAAACAAUCAAAUUGUCAUGCCCGUUGUUUCUUCAGCAGCUGCUCUCGUCACGGUGGAGAUGAGAGAGGUAUCUGCUCAAUUGCUCCGCUCUGAACUGGCCAGGAUCAUUCCAAUUCGGUGGGACUGGGAAGUGCAGACGCAAGGAGACAAGUCUUAUGUCGUUCCUUUCCCUAGCAAGGAAGAGUUGGAACGCAUGAUUGCGAUCGGAUCAAUCACUACGAAGAACAAGGAGGGCACUAUUGUUUUUGCUCAUUUCAUUGAUGAUGUCCAGCCAAUAAAAGUUUUGGAGCAGGUCUGGGUAACAGUCACUAAUGUUCCUCGGAUGCUGCAGUCCUUUCUCCCUCUAUGGGCAAUUGGAUCCAUCAUUGGGGCCACUCAAAAGGUUGACAUGGUCCAUCUCCGGGCAACAGGUCAGAUUCGCAUUCGUGUGGCGGUAAUGGAUGUUAAAAAAAUCCCUAAACUGGUUGAUAUUUGUGCAAUUAGUAGUAUUUAUCGCCUAUAUUUUAAACCUGAUGAAGUUGUGCAACCUGAUGCUUCUGACCCUGAGGAUGAUGAUCUUUUGGAUGAUGCUAAAAAGGAUGCUGAUGGGGGAGACCGGGUGAUGGAAGACGCGGAGGGCUCUGAUCCUGCUACUGAAAAUGAUAAUAAUGGCACGUCUGACAAAUCCCCAGCACCUCCUCAAAACAUGCCUCCUCAGCAGCAAGCAUCAUUGGUGGAAAAGGCCCUGGAUACGGCGUGUGAACAACUGAUAGAUGAGAUCAGUUUAAAGGUCAUGCUUGAGUCAGAGGAUGGGGCGGAAGAAGAGUGGACAGCCUAUAAUAAUUUUGUUAAUCACACUAACAAAUUACAACCUUCUUCUAUUUUUUCUAUUCAAUGCUCGGCGAAUGAGGACAUUCUGGUCCAGGACAGCUUGGGGGGGCUCUACAUCACCCUCUUCCCCCCAUGCUGAGAGGCCGGCCUCGACACCCACAGUGAUGAUCGCCACGCUGCCCGCUGCUGCCCUAACGCCGACUCCGGGAGUUGCUGCAGAGGGGACCGGCAACCUAUCUCCGUCCAGUACCCCUACUUCGCCUCCGGGGGGCUCCUUCGCACCGGCUGCUCGCUCCUCCACACCGCCGAGGGAGGCUGCUCGCUCCUCCACGCCACCGAGGGAGGCUGCUCACUCCUCCACGCCUCCUGCCCCUGCUAUGCCAUCGUUGGGGGACAGCACAACCCCUACUGCUCUCGAUGCCACUGCCGCGUCUGCUGGGGGCACCCCACUGCCGUCAGUGGAGGGUGCCAUCGCGCCGACUACCCCCCACUCUCCCACGCUGCUGAAGGGGAGCACCCCGGCCGUCACAGCACUGGGGGGCACCACGGCCCCUGCAGCUUCCCUCAAUAUGGAAGGCGAAGUCACGGGUUGUGAUGCCAAAGACGUUGAGUGGGGCAGCAACAGAGAGUGCAGCACCUACCAAACACACAAUCGUCAAAGAGCCCGCCAAAGAGCUACGCCGCAGUGCCAGAAAUGCGACGAUGGCGGAUGUGCACACCAUGCACAAGGUUGAACGUUUGGCGGCAAAAAAGAAUCUCGAAACAGGUAACUCUUUCUCUAGUUUUCCAGAUUCAAAAAUUAUUUCCAACCUUGGUAGGAUAGGCAUCAACCUAGGCUCCUCAGAUAUAGCAGUAAUUAAAAAUCUAGAGGUAGAUAGGUUGGUCCUCUGUGCUAAGCAAAAAAAGAAUUUAUCGAAACCCAAACUCUCUAAUCUGGAAAGUGAUGAUGAGCGGGAUCGAAGAUCGAUUGGAAGCAGUUCGCAGCCACACUUGUGGUAAUUUAAAUGAGAACUUGCUGGACCAGGAGGAUGAUCAAAUUAUAGAUCUCUCUCCUCUCCAUCGUAAGAAAAAAUAUAACAAUGCCAAAAAUUCAAACAAAGGCAGACUUCCCCAAAAGCGAAAGACCCCUUCCAAAAUUAUUAUAACAUGAAAGGAGUUUUCUGGAAUAGCAGAGGUCUUGCAGACUUGGCUAAACACAGAUUCUUGGCUGAAUUAGUUAAAGAGGAGCAAAUUAAUUUUAUUGCUAUCUCUGAAACUGGGCGGGAUUCUUUCCCGGAUCAUGUCCUCAAAAAUCUUUGUGGGGGUCAUGACUUUAUUUGGCACACCAUGGCUCCUCAUGGUAGGUCAGGGGGUAUUCUGCUAGGGGUGGACCUAAAUAUUUUUGAUAUUGGAGCCAUUGAUGAGGGAGACUUCUAUGUAAAGUUCACCCUCAGAUACAAAUUAAAUGACUUCAAGUUUAAUUUAUUUACAGUAUAUGGACCGGCCCAAGCACAGAACAAAAGUGCUUUCCUAGUGGAACUCGCCAACACCUGCUCCAAAGAAACUCUACCGUAUAUCAUAGGGGGGGGGGACUUUAAUAUAAUGCGAGGUCCUGAGGAUAAAAGUUCAGGGGAUUUUGAUCCCAAAUGGCCUAAUCUGUUUAAUACCGUCAUCGAAUCCCUAGAUCUUAAGGAGAUUGUGAUGUCAGGACGCCAGUAUACUUGGGCGGGGCCAGGGGAUUACCCACCUUUUGAAAAGUUAGAUAGAGUCCUUGUAAGCACUAAGUGGGAAUCCCAAUUCCCGCUGACGACUGUCGAGUCUAGAGACAGAAAUAUUUCAGAUCAUACUCCUCUAGUGCUUAACACAGGAACCUCAACCCAUCAAACCCAAAACCGUCCCUUCAAAUUUGAGAGGGGCUGGUUGAUACGUGAUGGUUUUUUUGACAUGGUUGCAAAUAUUUGGCAAACACCAUGUCCUGAGUCCACCCCGCUUGAACGUUGGCAGUCAAAGAUCCGCAGGCUCAGACAAUAUCUAAGAGGCUGGGCUAAAUACACUGCCGGAACGUAUAGGAAGGAGAAAAAAACCCUGCUAUCCCGUUUAGAGGUGCUUGAAAAGAAAGCGGAGGUCACUCACCUUUCUGAUCAAGAGAUUAAUCUUAAACACUAUCUAAAAGAGAGACUGGUUACCCUUCUGUGAGAAGAGGAACUGAAAUGGUAUGAGCGAGCCAAAGUCAAAACCUUAUUGGAGGGAGAUGCUAAUACUCGCUUCUUCCAUCUAGUGGCCAAUGGGAAACAUCGUAAGCAACACAUCUAUAAACUUGAAGAUGAUCAAGGCACGGUUGUUGGCGAUGAGCGCCUCAAAGGCCAUAUUACUACCUAUUAUAAAAAUCUCUUCGGGUCACCGGAACACUCCGACAUCACUCUUAUGGAAGAUCAAUAUUUAGAUAUUCCACAAGUAUCUCCGGAAGAAAACGAUAUCCUUAUUAGCCCUUUCACUGAAUCUGAGGUGAGGGACGCGGUAUUCCAAAUGGAGCAUAAUAAAGCUCCAGGCCCGGACGGAUUCCCUGCGGAAUUCUAUCAGGUGUUUUGGGGAGUUAUCAAGGACGACCUCCUACACCUCUUUGCUGAUCUCCAUCGAGAGGCUCUUGAUCUUCAUAGCUUGAAUUUUGGAAUAAUUACUUUAAUUCCAAAAAUUCAAAAUGCUACUAAAAUUCAGCAAUAUAGACUGAUUUGUGUCCUCAAUGUGAGCUUUAAAAUAUUCACAAAAGUAGGCACAAACAGGCUGAAUAUGGUCGCAAAAACCAUAGUGAGCCCAACACAGACUGCCUUUAUGCCGGGCAGGAAUAUCAUGGAAGGAGUAGUGAUAUUGCACGAAACUAUUCAUGAGUUACAUACUAAAAAACGAGAUGGGAUCAUCUUCAAAAUUGAUUUCGAAAAGGCAUAUGAUAAGGUCAAGCGGUCUUUCUUACAGCAAACCUUACGUAUGAAAGGCUUCUCCCCUAAAUGGUGCAGGUGGGUAGAGAGUAUGGUCACUGGUGGAAGUGUGGGGAUCAAAGUCAAUGAUGAUGUUGGCCCCUACUUUCAGUCCAAACGUGGUCUCAGACAGGGAGAUCCUAUGUCCCCCAUUUUAUUUAACAUCGUCGCUGAUAUGCUAGCUCUUCUUAUUAAUAGAGCAAAAGCCGACGGACAAAUAAGAGGAGUCAUUCCCCACCUUGUUGAUGAUGGUUUAUCUAUUCUACAAUAUGCUGAUGACACCAUUAUCUUCUUAGACCAUGAACCAGAGCAGGCAAAGAAUCUGAAACUUUUGCUAUGUGCUUUCGAGCAAUUAUCUGGGCUUAAGAUCAACUUCCACAAGAGCGAGAUUUUCUGCUAUGGAGCAGCUAGAGAGAUGGAGCCUUAUUAUACUAGUCUUUUUGGGUGUAAUGCAGGGAAAUACCCCUUCACAUACCUGGGAAUCCCAAUGCACAAUAGACAGCUCCUGAUUGGAGAAGAAUAGAAGAACGAUUCCAAAAAAGACUCUCCUGCUAGAAGGAAAAAUACUUGUCGUAUGGAGGAAGGCUGGUCUUGCUAAACUCCGUCUUAAGCAGUCUGUCUAGGUUUAUGAUGUCCUUCUUUGAGAUUCCUAAAGGAGUACUCAAGAAUCUUGACUUUUUUAGAUCAAGGUUCUUCUGGCAAGGAUCCUCAGACAAGCAUAGUUAUAGACUUGCCAGAUGGGACAUUUUGUGUCGUCCUAAGGACCAAGGGGGUCUACGUAUCCUAGACUUACAAUUGCAGAAUAAAUGCUUAUUGUCCAAGUGGUUGGUGAAUCUACUCAACACAGAGGGCUUAUGGCAGACCCUGCUGAGAAAUAAAUACCUACGAUCGAAAACACUUACCCAAGUCAAAGCCAAACCAAAUGAUUCGUAUUUCUGGAGAGGCCUCAUGCGUAUUAAAGAUGAGGUAUUGGCUAAAGGUUCCUUUGAUGUUAAAGAUGGAACCAAAACGAGGUUGUGGGAAGACACAUGGGUGGGAGAUAAGCCGCUAAAAGUAAAAUACUCCUCCCUUUUUAAUAUUGUACGUGAUCGCCACGCAACUGUAGCCAAAGUGCUCUCCACUAGUCCCCUGAACAUCUCCUUUCGCAGGGCACUGGUGGGAAAUAAACUUGUACAAUGGCUCAAUUUAGUAGCAAAAAUUUCUAGUGUUCGAUUGGUGGCGGGUUCGGACUAUUCUAGAUAGAACUUAACCAAAUCUGGGUUAUUUUCUGUUCGUUCGCUGUAUCUACAUCUCAUUGAUACAAAACCACCUUUUGCCCACAGGAAACACUGGAAAAUAAAAAUUCCUCUAAAGAUCAAAAUUUUCCUUUGGUUCCUACAAAGGGGUGUUGUUCUAACCAAAGACAACCUCACUGGAAAGAAUUGGAAAGGGAGCCAGAAAUGUGUCUGGUGUAAUAAGAAUGAGACUAUCCAACACUUAUUCAUUGAUUGCCCUUUCACCAAGAUGAUUUGGAGGAUUAUUUUCUUUGCUACUAGUUUAACUCCACCUAGAUCUAUUAACCAUAUGUUUGGUGCAUGGCUUUCUAAUCAGAAUAGGAAGCUUAGAGAUGUGAUCUGGGUUGGGGUUGCUGCCAUGUGUCGGGCCAUCUGGCGCUGCCGGAAUGAUGUUAUUUUUAACAAUCUCAAAACUAACUCUUUUAUGCAGGUUAUUUUCAAGGGAGCGUAUUGGCUCCGCUUUUGGGCCCCACUGCAGCGUGAUGAGCAAACCAAGGACGUACUAUCUUCGAUAAGCAAGACAUUAGAGAUUAUUGCUUUAGAGAUAUCUCAUAAAGGCUGGAAACAUUUUUAUUGUUUACUUUAGAGUCCUGGUCAAUGUCUCAGACCAUGGUUUGCUUUCACUCCUUUCUAAUCCCAAACAUUGUAAUAAUUGGCUGUGUAUAUCCCUGGAUGUAGAGGCCGGAUAUUGUUUUUAUCUCUUAUCUAAAAAAAGGUAUUUUCCAUAUUUUUCUAUUUUCCAUGUAAUUAGUUAAGAAAUAUAUUUCAGCGGGUACUUUACUAUCAAUUACACUUCUCCAUCUAUAGAGCUUGGAUUCAUAUGAACCGGCUAAGUGCACGACGUCUGCGAAUCAAGAUUCCAAACUGCGCCGCCUCAGCCUUGGCGCACACGGAUCCUGAGGCAGCCUAGCUCGCGGGCGGCACGCGACACGGCAGAGGGCGCAGUGUCACAGCAGCGAUGGUGCAGACCACCGUGAGGGAGUACAGGGAAGCAUGGAUAGCAAUGGACACAAUUAUUGCCACUGUUUGUUUUGGAAUCAUGAAAACAAUUUUCAGAAAGAGAUUUGCUACAGUGCACAAAAGCAGGAACCGCUGGUUCCUAUGGUCCAAAUUUGUUUUGAGCCAUUCAUCUUCAUUAAAGAAAAAGUUAUGCAUUUAUGUCCAAAAAGUUAUGUCCAAAUUUGUUUCCGGCCUUUUUGACUGCACACCAAGUUUUUAAAAGGUUUUCAGCAAAGUUUUUGUGUCUGACUGCACAUAGCAAGCCAAGUUUUUUAAUGUUUUAAAAGGUAUUCAGCUAAUGAGCUGAUAAAAUUUAAAGGAAAAGGUGACACAAACAAAUUUAAAGAUUUACACAUACCAAUGCAAUGAGAAUAUCAAUGCUGCUAAUUUGUAAUUGUGUUUAAUAUAGUUCAUAAUUCAUACAGAAUUAUAAAUGUGCAAUUGUGCAUUAGUGGAAGCCGUGGGUCUAUUGAGUUUAAUUGUUUAGCACAGAGUUGCGAGCUACCCAUACCUGGUAAAGUUAAAUUAGAAAACAGAAAUCCAAAUGAUAAAUCCGUAGCUAAACAGGUCAGGCACAGCAUGUCACAAAUGUUCCCAUAAUUUCUGGAAAUCCAAGAUCAUUGAGGCACAUGGAUCAUGGCCUAAUCUGCAGAUAAAAUAAAACAUAAAUUCAGUAAACGCAAUGCAGUUAGCACAGGAAGUCAAAUUCCCCCGUUGCAAAGGUCAUUCUCAAUGAGGUUCACACCGAUGUGUUAUCACUAGUAAUCCAACUAUCCAAGUACCAACAACACUGGCUACUAUAGAGACAAUGCUGUGUGAUAUGAUAAUUUAACAAAAAGUUUUAUUGAAAGUGUACCUGGAUUCUGUCGAUCCAGCAUUGUGCCUUUCAGUUGAGGAGUCUACCAAUAUUAUAAUGUGAGAUUGUGAAUGCCACGGCGUUCAGAGAUUGCAAGAACCAACAGGCGUGAGUGUGUGAGGUGCAGCAACUAAAACAAGGACCAGCCUGGUUGUACAGGAACAAUGUAUAUAUUACCAUAUCAUGGAUGCUUUUCUUUACCAUACAGCUGGAUACAUGGACAAGUAAGGAAUGAUGCUGCAUCAUCUUCUGACAAAGCUCGACAUGCAUAUGCUAUGUCAUGAUGCGAUGAUGCAAACCACAAGCAAAGGAACAGAGGAGGACACUGCUUUCACUUUCCUACUAAUUAACUAAAGGGAAAGGUAAAGAAACGCUCAAACAAAUACCGUGUACGAAGUUGAAUGAACAGGUAAAACGACAUGGGUGAAAGCAAAGUUAACUAAUAAGGGGACCUUAAAUGGCGCCAUGGGGAUGCUGGGCAAGGGCUGAGAGCGGCAGACUGGAGUACAAGGGAAGGACGACAACUAACAAUUGCUUUCACUUUGUAACCGAGUCCUUCAAAAAAAAAGUGUGAACUUAUAUAUCAAAAUAAAAAUAAUCUAGCAGCAGCUUUUACAUACUCCCUCCAUCCCAAAUUAUAAGUCGUUCCAAGAAUCUUGGAGAGUCGAAACAUCUUAAGUUUGACCAAAAUUAUAAAAAAAAUUACAAAGUUUUCUGGCAUCAAAUAGAUAUACUAUGAAAAUAUAAUUAAUGAAGAACCUAAUGGUACUUAGUUAAUAUCAUAAAUGUUAUUAUCGUAUCAUAUAAUUUUGGUCAAACUUGAGAUGCUUUUACUCUCCAAGAUUGUUGGAAUGACUUAUAAUUUGGGAUUGAGGGAGUAAUUUAUAAGAUAGAAAACAAAAAAAAUUUCUUUCGCUCCAUUUUUCCAUGGUCAGUAUCAUGUUUAUGUUAGAUACUCAGUUUACAGUUUACAGAUUAGAUUGGCUGCUUAAAUAGCACAUCAGUGUACAGUUUCCAAAUUAGAUAGGAUGCUUAAAACAGUGUUUUUUCUUUAAUUAUUUUAAGCUAUCCUAAAAAUAAUUAUUUGUAGUAUCUAUGGCUAAAAUGCAAACGGUUAAGAGCUGUCUGUAUGUCGGUCUACUGAAUUUAUGGCUAUAUGGUAGCUGAAGGUUUUGCUCAAGUUUUUUUAAAAAAAAACCGGGGAACAGGUUUAUGUUCAAGAGAGGCUACCCAAAAUCUUAAAUAUUGCAUUCCAUUUUGUGCACUGUGACCUUGCAGCAAACUUACUGGUAAAAAAGAGCUGCUUGGGAGCUUCCCUCGAAAGGAGUCUUUGGCAAGGUUUUCAAGGUGAGAUGAAAGAAACCAUUCAAGGACAGUUUAUAAAAAGUUCAAAAAGUGAGAUGAGAAACCAUUCACUCUUUAAUGUUAGGUAUACAUAUCAUUGAAUAAUCGGUGCAAAUUUUGUUACAGAUUGAAUAUGUUUAAGCACACUAUCCAUUUUGUAUUAUUGUAAAAUAGUUGAUUAUAUAUUUUUUAAAGAAACUAUGAACAUCUGCUGUAAUAUGAAUGAGACUAUCCAACACUUAUUCAUCGAUUGCCCUUUAACCAAAACAAUUUGGAGGAUUAUUUUCUUCGCUAGUAAUUUAACCCAACCAAGAUCUAUUAGGCAUAUGUUUGGUGCUUGGCUUCGCAACCAAAAUAAGAGGGUGCGAAGUUUGAUCUGGGUUGGGGUUGCUGCCAUUUGCUGGGCUAUUUGGCGAUGCCGGAAUGAUGUUAUUUUCAACGAACUCAAAACUAACUCUAUUAUGCAGGUUAUUUUCAGGGGAGCAUUCUGGCUUCGCUUCUGGGCACCUCUGCAGCGUGAUGAGCAAGUUAAAGCCAUCCUUUCGACGAUAAGCAAAAAGUUGUAGAUUAUCGCCUUAGGCAUUUCAAAUAAAGGAUGGAAAUAUUUAUAUAGUUUAUUUUAGUUUGCUGGUCAAUGUUAAAGGCCAUGGCUUGCUCUUUACUUUUGUAUCCAAAACUUUUACAAUGGUUGGGGGUAUUUUUUGGUUCCUCUUGGUUCCUAAUUAAUUUAUUAGUACUAAUUAAUUUUAUGAGUGAAAGGUUAGUAGUGUAAUUGUGCCUCUCUCUCCUGCCGCAACCCCUCGCCAUGCCCACGCGCACCAGUACACGCACGCACUCGGCCAGGCCUCACCGUGCCCACACUACCCUGCCCUCCUCGCACUCUCCAUCGGCAUCACGCAUCGCCGCUGCCUCGCCCUUGCCAUCGCACGUCGUGCCCUCACCAUCGCGCGGCGCCAUCGCUGCCGCUUGCCGCAGCCUGCCCUUGUCCUCGCGCAGCGCUGCCGCCGCCGGCGGCGGCCUGCCCUUGGCCGCGCUCGUCUCUCGUCGCCAUAGGUUCUGUUGUCUGUGACUGCUUGAAUGGCAAAGAAAGAUUAAGUUCAAUGCAUUUCAGCUUUUACCCAUAGCUUCUCAUCUCCGACUUUUUCUCCUUGAAAUUGUCUUGGACUGCUAAUUGAUGGUAUAAUGCUGUAUAGAACGAACAAAUACUACCUUCCGUUGUUGUUACUUGAUAGCUAAACUAGCCAGAAUUGGAGUUUGGUUAAGCCAGUUAAAAAAUCGAUAAUGGUGGAGUCACUUCACUUGGCCAUGGAUCAGCAUUAGGCCAAAGCAGCUCGUGACAAGCAGACAGCCCUGAUCUUGCCGCCCGCAUCGGCAGCAGGGACGGCUGCCACCGCCACCAAGGGGAGCACGGACGCUGUCAACCCUGAUCUUGCCUCCUCCAACGCAUCGCUAGAUGUACGUGGUGCCGCCGUUCGCAGGGGACUGGUGAGGACAGAUUGCGUGCCCUAGCCGCCGCAGCCCUACCCUCGCGCGUGCGCUCGCCCUCGCCCUGGCAACCGACGCCGCUGCAACAGGAAGUCUCGGUGAGAAGGAAGAACAGAGAGACGACAGGGUGGCUAGGGUCGGCGAAUCUCACAAAUACAUGUGACAAACUAUACUAAUUCAGUCUUUCUUAUCCUACCUAAAUAUUAUUUUUAUAUUAUAAAUUUACCAUUUUACCCUUAAUUAUAUGAAAGAAAUUCGAAAAUACAAUUAUCGCAUUAUUUUUUUAAGGUACUAAUCCCACUAAUUUUAGUAUGCACUUGGUGCCUUUUCAAUAGGUUCCUCUUGGUUCCUCUGACUUUUUAACCGUCGGAUUGCUCCUUGUGAGCCAUCUAUUUUUCGACAACCAUUGUAAAAAUCCUCGAAAAAUUAAUAUCACCCAUUAAUAUGAUUAUUUUUCAAGCGCACGUACUUAAUAGGAGUAAUUGCUUGAUUCCUUCUAUGUGCAUGGGAAAUCUAUGUCAAUUGCUAGUUUGCUACAUAUACUGCUCUCUUGAUCUGCUCUACUCAUCACCAAGACAAGAACUCGUAACGACUGCAAGUACCCUCUGCUCAAACAGCAACCACAUCAGCGUCUCCCUCCAUCGUCAAGCAGAACGGCGUUGUCAUAUAUGCCUGCCUCUGCUUUCGGCACGUUGUCAUCAUGAAGAACAAUGAAAAGAGGCGCCACCUCCGCCUAUUGCUCUGUCCAUUCUCUUCUUGUGCAUAUUGAUUGUUUGCACAGCAGCAUACAAGAAAUCCCUGCCACGUGAGACCGAUGAUGGACCCAGUUCCGUUAGUGGAGUAGGAUCGGAGACUGGUCUCGUGGGAGCCUCAAGCACCAGAGAGAGAGGGUGAAUGGGAGCCUCAAAUUUUCUCCCGAAAAUAUUUGGCCACUGUCCCGAGUUCACCGCCAAACGCGCAACAACUUCAAAUCUAGAAUACUCACGGCAACUGGUGACACAAGUACCUAGAGAAAUUCCUUAGGGCUAUAGAAACUCAAUGCAACAGCCGAAAUGCAAAUCGGAGUCCAAACAACCAAGUUGUGCACAAAACGGAAAAUCAGGACAAGAGAAAAAUCAUUAGAAAAUCACCAAGAAAAACGGACAGAGUAACGGCUUAAAAAUGGAGCACUCUAUUUUACCUGGAUCCCUGCAAAACAAAUCACUAAAUUGGAUUUGCUCGGCACUCGAUGGUGCACGGCCUACCAAUCAGCUACAACACUAACCACACCUGCAGAAGAUGAGAGCAUACACAGUACAGAAUUCCAAAGCCGAAGUCUUGACUGGCCUCUUCAAAGUAAAGCACUGAACACACCCGCUGAACGAGCACCAACAGGCACCAAACGAACUUGUUCACAAAGCCGGAAACAAGGAGAAGGAGAAAAACAACAGGAACAGCCGACCUUGUCGCCAAUUUCUUGCUUCCUGUGCUUAACGUGAAUAUAGAUGAGCAAGCAAUGAUUGGGCACUGUAGCUUGAAAAUGACACCUUAAGAAUUGGAAAAACAAAACACGAAUAGCAAAGCUCUUAGUACUAGACACAAACUGCUGAUGCAGUAAAUCUGCAAGAGGAAAUUCCAAGUAGUACUGCUGCCCUGCUGAUCACGAGUGAAUAUCUGGGCCCAAGUGAAAGCACUGCUUGGUGCUUGGCCGAUCAGAGACGCUGGCAGCGCUUCUGUGCUGCUUCUCUGCAAAUCGAAACAGGGAGAGAAACCAAGGCCUUCUUUAGUUCGCGACAAUUUUUGAAUUUCGCUACUGUAGCACUUUCGUUUUAAUUUGAUAAUUAUUGUCCAAUCAUAACUAGGCUCAAAAGAUUCGUUACGGAAAUUACAUGUAAACUGUGCAAUUAGUUAUCUUUUUUAUCUAUAUUUUAUACUUUAUGCAUAUACCGCAAGAUUCGAUGUGACGGUAAUCUUAAAAAUUUUUGGAAACUAAACAAGGCCCGACAGAGACCAGUGAACGAACGCAAGAACAUAAAGGCUGCGUUCGGUUGCCAUGGUUUUGAUCCAGGAACCAUUCCAGCUUAUCAAAACUAUGUAAAUUAAUGAAGCAAAUCCAUCUGGAAUCAUUCCAUGACCCCAAACCGGAUCAACUGAACAAAGUCGAAGGGAGCUCGGUCAAACGACGCCUGGGUUGCCGUGUCCGUACAACGGACCAUGGAGGUCUCACAGCGGAGGGUCUGCUCUCCGAUGCGAUGGACUUCGACGAGCGCUGCAGCUGCCGGGGCUUGAGCACAGAACUACUAGGCGCUGAGCCUGACUGCAUCGGUGACCAACGAAGCCUAUACCGAUGCUGCCAUCUCGAGCUCGAACGCAAGAACAGCACGAACAGAAAAGAAAAGCAGAUCUCUCUCUCGAAACAAAAGCUUUUGAGCUCAGAAUUUGCACAGAUGCAACUCAACUAGCAGCGAACCAAUUCCCAAAAAAUCAUUGUCUGAAGUCAAUCCAAACUCCGGGGCUGCACGAAUUGGGGAAGAACGAAAAGGAUCACAUAAACAAAAACACGAAGAAAACUGAUUCAGGACACCAUGAUUUCAAAACCCAGAGGGCAACGUGAGGUAAAGACCCCACUUACCAAAAUAAAACAUCAGUUGAAUACACAGACAAGUGCCUCUCUCUGGUAACAGAAAAUGAAACCCUACCCUAAGAAUCACGAAAAUGAGUGGGGAGAGAGGUAGAGUAGCUUGGGGGCAGCCCCCUCUCUUAUUUAGAGGCUAUUUUAUAUUCCCCAUUUGCCCCUAGAUAUUUAGAAACGAACUAGCUAGCCCCUGGGGCAUUCUAGUCCAACUCUUUCUCUCUCGAUCCGACGGCCACCACGCCUCCUCAUCGGUAGCUUCGACUCGACGCGAACUCCCCGAUGCUGCCACGUGUCGUCCGUUCCUGAGAACCUCCGCCCGGGUUUUAAGGCCCAAAGCCACGAAACCCGCCGCGAGUAGCGUACUCUAUACACUUCCCCGCCACUCGACACGUGUCACCGCCGUCCUCGAUCGGUCGACCCGCCAAGUCCUCCUGAGCCUCGCUUGACUCGCGUCUGCCGUCUUGACUUGGUCAACACUGUCACUCCCAUGUACACUUGCACUUGUCGAUGUCCCAGAUGUCAGCCACCGCGGCUGGUCACUUGGCCUCCUGGUUCAUCGGUCCAAGCCUCACGUCCGCCUUUCACCGCUCCGGGUCCAUUGGCACGGCACGUCUCUACUUGACCGUCACCUCGCCUUCGACCACCGCCUCUGAGCUCCACAACUGCACACCACGAGCCAAGAGACAUGUCGCACACAUAGCUUUCACUAUAGUAAUAUUAGUUGCCAACUCAACCUAUUCGUGGAUCACGUUGACAAUCACUCAUCACAAAAACAAACCACACAGGUACUUGUCGACCUUGUGUUCGCAGAGCCUAAAGCAAGCUGGGCUGGUCUGAGCCUCUGACCUCCAUAGCAGGGGCACGUGAACGGCUCAAUCACAGGUUCAAGACUAACUCUGUGUUCUCAAUUACGGGCAACACUGAUCAAAUCUAGAUUCAUGGAAAUUUUAAAAUCUUGAGAAAACUUAGAGGACACUGAAUAAAACUCUGUGUUCUUAGCUAUGUGAGUGAGGCGCACUGCACUAAUUAUAUUGGUAACAAUUAGAGCAUGCAACAGCCAUCGUGCAGUGGGGAUCCAUUGUCUACGUGAAAUGUGAGUAUAAUUGACAUUGUCAAACAACAGAUACACCAAUGUCAAAAGAAAAGCCUCACGUAUUUGCCCAUAUAUUUGUGUUCCCAGCCAACCAAACAAGGACAAAAUGCGAAAAUAACAUUAAGCACCAUGGGAAUAGUCAAUGAACCCACAACAUAUAAAAUUACAAAAACAGAGUACAUUAACUGUUACAAAUUACAAAGAGUCCCGUUUGUUCUCACUUCUCAGCACACCAGUUCAUAACUCCAUACACAUACAGCUUGGUUUCAUGGCAACCUGAAACCGCCAAUUAUUAACACAUAAACAGAAUCCAAACAUGUUGAGCAAACCAGCACAAAUAUGACAUGUCCCUUGGCAAACAUUACCAGAAGAAAACAAACACACUCAUCACAAAGCACGAUACAAUACCACAAACUGAGAGGGCAACUUAAUUGUGUGCUUGUUGGCACAGAGCUCUGCAUCUGAAACCAAACUGAUCACCUGAGAUAGCUUUCAAUGAUAUGUUUCUUGCGUGAUACAAACUCUGGUGGUGCCACAUGCAAGUUGUAGUAACUCUGCUCUGGUAGCUUCAACUGCAACCUGUUCCACCACUCACGCUCUCCGUUGACUCUCACCUCGUACUUUGGAUAUUUCUUCUUCAUCAGGAAUGGGAGAUGGCGAAAGGAUUGGCAACCCCGGACAAAGAGCUUCUCCCACUUUGGCGUUUCAAGCUGAAAUUUAACAACAUCAUGGAUGUGCAGCAGUUGUGGAAGCUCCUGGAGGUAGAUACUUUUGAUGCUUGGGAGUGGAGAAGGUGCUACCCUAGAUCCCUGUUUGUAGAAAAUUGUCUUGUGGUUGGGGCAGAAGAGAAUGACCAGAGUCUCCAGUGCAGGUAAUGAUAAACUACGUGGGAACAUUUUCUCCAGUCGUGGGCAGUGCUCCAGGUGAAUGUGUUUUAGUAGCUUCAAAGUGAUAAGCUUGCCAUAAUACCAAGGCACAACAUGCUCAACAAUGCAUAGGAGGUUGUUAAGGCAGGAGGCCUGCAGUAUCCUUAGGGAAUGUAAUAUCUCUGAUUUUCAAUAGUACUGUUAUUUGAUUGCACUGAAGGAGCUGGCAUUCUUCUAGUGUCAUGAGACUAUUACUGAGGUCAGUGAGGCAUCUGACGAAAUUAUCAUCUGUAAUGAAUAUUGAGUUUGUCACAGAGAGAAUAUGCCUUAAGCCAUUUGGGUACUGAUUCACAGCUGAUAUCUCAACAUGACGUUGUUUUGGCUGAAGCUUCAUUGCCGACACAAUACUAGCAGCCUUAGAAUACAGGACAUCACCAUAAGUUGAAUUCUUCUGGAUCCUAGUAGAUAACUCAGCUUCAUUGUUCUGUGGCUUCUUGCCUGUCACACUGCAUGGUUUAACUUGGACAUUGAAUGACUGUAGAAACUGUCCUUGGUUGACUAACUUUUUAGCAGUAUCUUCAUUGAAGCUAUGGAACAUUCUGGGGUCAUUUAUUUUGACCUGAGCAGUAUUGGUAGUUUUCUCUUCCUGCUGAUUUUCAUCUCCACAAGUCUUCAGCUGGCAACACAUCUUCAGAAUUCUAUUAUCAUCAUUUGCACAGUGAUCCAAAUAGAAAACCUUAGGAAACCGGACCAACUGAUGCCAUGGGAAUCUCAUGAAACAAGGGACGCCAAGAAGAAGUAACUUGUUGAGUUGUGGUAGAUUUGGGAGGUUGUGAGGGACCUCCUCAAUAGCAGUUCCAGAAAGAUCAACAUCCUCCAACGCUGUAAGAUCAUCACUGAAGUUCACAGAUUUGAGGUUGCUGCACCCACGCAGGGACAGGCACCUAACCCAUGGUCCGGAGAGCGAGAAGGUUCUCAAAUUUGGGUGCCCAAGAAUCUUGAUAUCUUCCAAUGCUUCCCAUGCUCGUAUAUUAAGGUUUUCCAUGAAUGAUGGUAGUUCCCAUAUAUUCUGAAGCAUUAACCCAGUGCAGUUAGAGAUAUGUAGCUCUUUGAGGCCUUUGGCUUUAGACAGCGACUUCAGGAGUGACUUUAAGCUACUGCAAUUAUAGACAUGUAGCACUUCCAGGACCUUGGCUUCAGAAAUGGAUAUUGGUAAUGACAUCAAUAGCAGGUUGUUGAUUAACCUGAGUGUAUGCAGGCUUUGCAUUUUUUGGAACAUGUCCACUGGAAAAGAGGUAAUCUGAGUCCCCUCGACAUGAAGAACCAACAGAUUUGACAGUUGAGCCAUUGAAGGAGGUAACUCUCUGAGAUUGGAGCAAUUACCGAAAAUGAGCUCCUCAAGGCUUGACAUUUCACAGAAGAAUUCAGAAGGCAGGGUGGUGACCUUUGAGCCUGAUAGGUCAAGGUAGUGCAGAUUGCUCUUGUUACUGCCAUCUUCUUGUGUUAGGUCAACCAGGGGAACCCCAUUCAUAUCUAGGACUUGAAGGUUUUCAAGAUGAGCAAGCGGUGAGGAUGUUUCUUUGUCAGAAUUUGGUGGUGGUGGAGACAAGGUUUCUAGCAGGGAACAGCCUCUGAGCGAGAGCAAGUAGAGAUUCAACAGAGAUGAAAAGGAAUAAGGGAGUGAAUUUAUAGGUGUGUAGGACAAAUCAAGGACACGGAGGUGUGGGGUGAACAAUUUCUCGAAGGAAAAUUCAGAUAAAUUUGAACAGCCUCUCAAAAUAAGGGUUGUCAUUAUUAUAACUCCAUCUCCUCUGGUAUCCCUCGGCUCCCAAUCCCAGCUUACAUCCCUACCAUAAUCAUUCAUAAAUGAGACCCAUCUUAGUUUGUAGUACUCGAAAUAGGUAUUGAGUCCAUCUUGUUCGAGACGUGAGACACCCCUAGCUAACUUUGACAGGCCAGUGAUGACAUCCUGUGGGGAUGACGAAUAAGUAGUUUCCUUACUUGAUGAAGCCCUUACUGUUGUGUUAGAAACAGCAGAGUAGAUUGGCAGCAAUGAAUAUUCCUGCAAGGCCUGAAUCACGACCUUCCCAGCUUCAUUUGCAGACCUGUAGUAGUUGCUCUUUUUCUUGCCAAUGGCUGCUGGCGUAUGGGUGGAGAUUGCUGUUGAGAAAAGCAGGUCCUCAGCCACCCAACAGCGAACCAGCUCAUCGGAGGUAACAACAGCUGGGGAGGCCUGGCGUCCAGCAGCUCCUUCUCCUUGUAGCGGAUGGUAGAGGAUAGCAUAAUACAGGCAUUGCUGAGCUACAUGGAGCCAAAACUCCUCGUCUCCUUUGUCCUGGAGUGUGAGUGUCAUAUAAAUGGAUCUGGCUGCAUCCCGUAAGGCCUCUUUAAUCAACACAGCCCAAUCUCGCACACCGAGAUCAUCAAAAGGCGGGGCGUAGAAAUAUUCUGGAGUUAAAUGAACUCGCUCUGAGUGAUUGAAAUCAUGAAAUCCUUGAGCAUAUCUGCUUUUUUCACAGACAUCCUUGGAAGUGGCUGAGAUGAGCCACCGCCGGUUUCGGAAUAUCGAUGGCCAUCGCUUGCCCAGUAUGAAAACCAACAUGUCCAUUGAGACGGGAACAUGCAGGUUUUCCACUAGCAGCAGGUGCUUCUUCCCUUCCAAUGCUUCCCCGAUCCUCUCUAGUACUGGAGAAAUUCUUGGUUGACAAUGGAAGAUAGGAUCCGUCUUUACAGAUUCAUCUGAUGCAAACAACUCAAUGUACCUGCAUCCAAAAGCCUGGAGCUUCAGGUAGUCUGAGAUUCUGCCGUAGCCAAAGUAGCUCUCUUCUGCGGCAAGUUGCUUGAGCUCCUCAAGUUGCUCACUGUCACCGUCAAGCAUUAAUAUUUCGGUGAGGACCUGAAAUGCCAACCGAUGCUGGGCUGUACUGCUGCUUGCAGCUUCAGCGGGUGUCUGCCUCACGCGUGUAAUGUGGUCAUAGGGACCAUAGAGUUCCUUGGUUCGCUCAAACAAGAGCCUGGUAAGAGUCGGUACAAAUGAAGCUGCAGAUCCAAUUCCGACAUUCCAUAUCACUGGGUACUCCUUGCUCCAUUUC